UUUAUUCGUGCUGGGCUAAGACUAAACUUGGGCCUAAUCCCUGGAUUUUUGGGCCUCAACAAUAAUCAUACUCAUCCUCCACAAUCAUGUUAUGGAGGAUGAUGCAAGUCAUCAUAAUGCUCCGACGCACCUCCUUAUCAAGCAUCCGAGUAGCACUCUUAAUAAUUGUCCAAUGAGCUUGCAAGAUACUAAAAAACCUUUCCACAUCUUUCCUAUAACCUUCUUGAAAGACAACAAAGCUUUUUUCCUUCUCCGAUGGGGGAUUUGGAAUUGUUUUCAUGAAUGUCGUCCACCUCGGAUAAAUUCAGUCCGUGAGGUAGUACGCACUCAAGUAUACAGUAUUGUUAAUUCGAUACGUAAUGUGGGGGGAAUGACCUCUCAAGACGUCAUUGAAUACCGAGGAUUGACCAAGCACAUUGAGGUCAUUCUGAGAUCCGGCAACUCUGAAAAAGGCAUGCCAACCCCAAGUGUCGAAUGAUGCUACGGCCUCCAGAAUAAUACUUUUUUGACCCUUUAUAUUCCCAUAAUCUCCUUGCCAAACAGUUGGGCAAUUCUUCCAUUGCUAAAACAACUUCUUCCUUCUCUUCAUCUAACUCACGAUCUUCUUUAGCACGUCUGCAUCUUAUUUCUUCAUCUUCGUGUUAUUGCCUCUCAAAAACACCCUCCUAAGGUUAGACAUUGAGAGUAAAAUGUGUUUUGUAAAAUAUGAGAAAUGAAAGGAUAGAGAAGAUAUGGUGUGAGAGGUCUGAGUUGAGGGUGUAGUUUUAUAGAGGGAUUUAGAAUAUAGAGAUGACACGUGGCGCAAUUUUAAAGGGUGAAAAUCUAAUAUGAAAUCUGAGAUUAGAAUUUUUUAAAUAAAUAUUCAAAAAUCUUAUCUGAAAUGAGACACGUGGCUCAAUUUAGAGGGUGAAAAUCUUAUCUGAAAUAUGAGAUUAGAAUUUUUUUUUAAUAAAUAUUCGAAAAUCUUAUCUGAAAUGAGACAUGUGGCAAUCGACAAUCUUAUCCGAAACUUGAGAUCUGAAUGUUAUAACAACAUAUGGACACGUGGCAACCAAAAAUCUGAUUCGAAAAUUUAAUUCGAAAAAUUUAUCUGAAAAUGUUAUCUGAAAUUUUAGGUGAAAAUUUUAUAAUAAAUAGUGACACGUGGCAACCGAAAAUCUUAUCCGAAAAGCUUAUCAAAAUUAAUGGUUUAAGAAUAAAAAAUAGAAAAUAAAUUAAAGUGAAUAGUAAUUUCCCUUGCCUUUGCCCUUUGGGGUGGAAGCAGAAAAGGCAAGGCUGCCACUAUUCAAGUGAAUAGUGACAAACCUUGCCUUGCCUUUACCUUGCCCUUGCCCUUUGGGGUGGAGGUGCUCUUAUGUAUGCGAAUUUCUCUUAUGCAUAUAGCUUAGUUGCCUUUUGAUCCAAAAUAAAAAAUAAAAAGAUAGCUUAGUUGUUAAACAGCAAUUGUGGCCUUUCGAUGAACUUCAAUGACUGAGAUUAAAACGUAGGUUUAAAAAGGUUACAUAUAAGAAUGGGUAAAAAAAAAACCCCCUACACAAGAAUGGGUGAAAAGAAACCCAAAUUUGAAACCCACAAAUCAAAAAUUAACACCAAGAUUUGAAUGCAGAAUCGCUGAAAAGCCCAAGAAACCAUCAAUUUGAAAGCUAUGUUUUGGAAUCCGGCUAGUUGUGCGAAUCCACGAAAGUCGAAAAGGCAACUCCAUAUGUUACCAAUAAAAUCAGUUACAUAAUUUGAGUGGAAAAGAUGAAGCUGUAUUGUAAGAGCAAAUGUUGCAACGAAGUGGCGAAAGCAAAUCGUCUAUUUUGAAAGUGAUAAGUGCCAAUAUUCAAUUGUUACAUUUGAGAAAACCCUAAGUUGCAUUUGGAAUCAGCAUUUGGUAAUAUGUAAGUAAUUGAGUGUAAUUUCAGUUUUUAUAAAGUUAGGAUUUUUGUAAUAUAUUUGCUAUUAGUGGUGCAUGAUUUGGUGUUUUGUAAUAUGAUGAUGAUAACGAAAGUAAAGAAAUUGAAAUAUAACCCAUAUGAUUGAAAUGAACAUCAUGUCAAUAAUGAGUUAGUAAUUGAGCACUUUGUAUUGACAAGGAAUAAACUAUGAAUGAAUUGGUAGAAAAUAAAAUUUGAAAGUACAUAAAAAUCUUGAAAAUGGAUUGUGAAAAUUUUGUGUACUGUAAUGACCCAAACCUAAAAUUCAAUUUUAAUUCGUAAUUGAUUAUGCGGAAAGACAAUUUUGCCCUUUGACUAAAUUAUGAACUCAAAGUUGACUUUUUGACCGAAAAGAAAUUUGACAAUUCCAUAUCCACCGUUGCGUAGAACACGAUGAUACGAGUUCAUAGACACGAAGUGGAUUCGAAUCGGAGUUUUAACGAAGAAAAUACGAUUAAAACAUCACGAGGGGCAAAACAGUAAAUUGGAAAUCAGAAUUUUUAUAAAAACCUCAUCUCUUUCUCUCUCUCUCUCUCUCUCUCUCUCUCUCUCUCUCUCUCUCUCUCUCCCUCCCGUCGCAAACCCCCUUCCCGACCGUGUUUUUGUUCGAUCACCGUCGCCGCCACAGACCACCGCCGGCGACGAGACCGGUGCUGUUUGAACCGCCGCCACCUCCUCUUCCCUUCCCGACCAAUCUCCGCCCAUAGAACCGCCGGCGCUGACCGGAAACUGAAGUAAACCGAUCGGUGUUGACAGAAAUUCAACCUGUUCGUUCUCCUUCAAUUCUCCUCCAAAUUCAUCGAGUAAGGUAUGGAUUUCUACCUAUUUUCCGUGCUCUAGCUGAUGGUUGGGUAGGUUUGCAUCGAUUUUGACCGUAGCUAGCUCAGUUUGCAAAUUAAAAUUCGGCCGACUUUUGGCCUCCGUGUUUGGCCACUUCCGGUCAGUUUUUGGGGUUGGUCCAAGAACAAAAGUGGUUCCAAAUAUGGUGUUAUACCUAGGAUAGGAGUUUGGAGCCUUGGUUUUGAGAUUUUCCAGUGAGGCGUUAUCGCUUUGGACACCCAUCCCUGCCCGCGCUUGUGGCGGCGCGUGGGUGAGGGUGGUGCCAUGACACUGUGUUUUGAUGCGAUCCUUAGGUCGUCACGAGCACAUAGGAAUUUGCGGAUCUCAAUUUGGAUACCGUUUGAUCCUCGAACGGAUUUUUCAUAUCGUGCGAGUAUCGGAUUUGAUACUAUUGAGCCGUUGGAUCGUAAUCAAUUUGAGAUAUGUUACUCUGGAUAAUUUUAGCAACGUGUAGGAUUCGACGGAUUGUGAAUCGGAGUCCCAGAUACUCUGAAAUCGCGAACCCUAGGGCUAGGGUUUAGAAAUUAUGCGAUUACACGAUUGUAAUUAAUCCGACUGUCCGAUUGACACCAAUACCCUCGGGACAUGUGUCCUAGAUAUAUUGGACCUUCUAGCGGCAUCCGGAUCAUAUUGUGAGGUCAUGGACCCAUGGGGUUCCGGAUUAACGUUUUGGACUUUAGCGCUUUUUGAGUCCCAAGAUACCGCUAAACUAUCCCACGUGGAAGGAAAGCUGUUAUGGGCAUAGGGAUUACUUUAAAUUGAUGCACGUACUUUUAGGAGCCGGGGGUAGGGUUUUUAAUUUAAUACUAUAUUGUAUUAAUAGACUAUUAUGGUCAUUGAAUCAGGCACCCGGGCACCAGUUGACCCGCAGGAGGGACCUUCAAGAGGUCUAGCGAGCUCGGACUAUCAGUGAGUGGACUCUUUGUUUUAAUAAAUGAAAUUAAGCAGUUCAGUUUCAGUUAUAAGUUGUUUUAUUCUGUUAAAUAUUUUAUGUUGCAUGCUGCCGAGUGAAAUUUCCUUUUAAGAAUAUAGGAAAAGAUAUUCUUGUUAAUUAUCAGAUAAAUGGCAGCAGAAUUUUAAAGGUUACAGAAUUUUUAAAUCACCUUGAACCCAGAUAUUAAAUAUUGCCUUCGGAUUAUAUUUGUUGCCUUCGGUUUAGUCAGCAUGCUUGAUAGUUGCCCCACGAGGUCCUUGGUACUCGAACUUGUGUGGAGCGAGUAAUGCGGAUAAAGGUGGACUACAGUUCCCUGAAUCCUGCGAGUUGCGGCUCGGACUGACCUCGUGUCACUGAGACCUGCGAGUAUGUGUCACCCAUGGUGAUGCAAGGAAUUGACGGAUAUAAGGAUUUGACGGAAAUAGGGUACACCUAGGUGAUGGUUUUCAACUGUUUUCAAAUGUAUAAUUAUAUACAUGCAUUGAUUUCAGAAAUAUAGAAAAUAAGCUAGUCUGUAUAACUGUUUUUACAGUGGGGUUAGUAUGUUCAUAUGGUAUUUUCUAAACUUUGUUUUUUUGGGCUACUCACCCUUUUUGUUGUUUUGGGCCCCCAUGCAGUAGACGUGCACAGGAAUCUACCACCGGGCCACUUCCCAUCUUCCGCGCCUUUCUUUUGAUGUAGGAUUUUGUUUUGUAAACAGAUUCACUCUUUUGUACAUUUAGUAGUCGCUCUGAUGUUUUGCCCUAGAUUAACAUUUGAACUGUUGGAAUGUAUAUAUACAUAUGCUGGCAGUUGGUUGUAUAUAUGUAUACUUGUUUGGCAGGUGAAAAUAUUUUGGUAUUGAGCCAGUUACAAGGGAAACUCUGCCGGUUUUUCGGUAGAAGUCAACCUUGUUAUUUUUAUCAUGUUUUGUAUAGAAGGGCAAAUAGGUCAUUUGUGCCCAACAUUCGCCAGGUGUUGGACACGCACAGGGUCUGGCUCGGAUUCCAAAGUGGAAUUUGGAUCGGGUCCUGUCAAUUACUAUCAAGUGGGACUAAGCUUAAAUUGAAUUUAAAUUCCUAUGUGCGUAUAAUAACUUAUGUGUUGUGCAUUUGAAUUUAUUAAUACUUGUACAAAAAUAUUAUGUUCAAAUUAAGUGUAGUUAGCUGAAUGAAUGAUGUGCUAAAUAAAUAAUGAAGUUGUAUUUGUGUAAGAAUUUUCAAGAAAUGAGAUCUAAUGUGGAGGUAGUAUGACCAGAAUCAUAAGGCAUAUGUUGCACGAGUGAAUAACUGCUCACAUGCAAGUUCAUGCCUAACUGCAAUUUCAUCGAAAUUGACCAAAGAAUAGUUAGAGCAAUUCAAAAACUUAUGCUUUGGUCAUCUUGCAAAUAUUGUUAAAAUUCAGUUUAGCAAGCAAAUUGUACAUGAGAUGGCUUUGCAUCGAGUAGCCAAGCUUGGUGUGAAAGACUUGGAUGAACUGAGUUUCUUGAUAGGGUGUGACAUUGCUCAGUUCACUCGUCAUGACUUUUGUUUGAUUACAGGGCUUCGCUUUGGGGAGGAGCCUAAAAUAGAAUGUGAAGAAGAUAGUGAUAAAAUCAUACUUAAGGAAAGAUAUUUUGGCAGAGGAAUUACAUGUUCUGAUUUAGAUGAAGUAUUUUUGACUUGCAUGGAUACCAAUUUUUUGAAAGGCGAGGCAUUGAAAAGAGGCGUUUUAUGUCUCUCAAGGUGAGACGUAAGCCUUUUAAACAUUCAAUUAUGACAAAUAAAUAUUAAAUAUAUGUAAAACAUAUGAUUCGUAUACAUGUUGGGAGGUCACUGAUUCAUAACCACAACUUUGAUUAAUAUAUGUACAUGCUAUCAAGCCUCUCUUUAAACCCUAAAUUGAUUUAGUCAUGAAUUGGAGACAAUCAAAUUCAUAUAUAUUUAAGAUAGACUUGGCAUCUUGUGUUGAAUAGAUGGAAUAGAAGCAUGAGAGCUAUCAAAGAGAGAGUUGGGUUAGAAAUACGGGAGCUAGUGUGAAAAUUGAAACAAGGGCCUGUUUGGUACCUAUUCAAGUAGGGAACUCAAAAACUGUUAUUUUUCUUUAAAAUAAGAAAAAUUCAUGUAUAAAUGUGUAACAACUUCAUAAUUCAGGGGAUUUUACGUAGUUGAUCCUAUUAUCAUAAUCAUUAAUAAAAGCCAAUUUGCAAGCGGGUUAGCUCAUGUUAAAAUUGAGUGGGGUUAGGGCAAGUCCACCGCACAAAGCAUACCCAGGCAGGAGGGGGCCCAAGGGCCAAAUUGCCUGAGUUGUUGCCCAAAGGCUGCUGACACAAUGCUUUACUUUCCAAAAUUGAAAAAAAUACCAAAAAUUUCCGAAUUUUUUAUAUAUAAAUACCUAGCUAUAUUCUUUACUUCCCGCACCAAAAACUCUAUACAAAUUCAUCUCCUCAUAUCUCAUGUGAAUAGUAAUUGAACUUGCCCUAGCCCAUAGAGGUGGAAACAAAAUUGAAUAGUGGCAGCCUUUGGCUUACCUUUGCCUAUAGAGGUGGAAGUGCUCUUACCAUCGUGGUUGUAAACCCCAGGGUUUCUUUCCUCCCAAUAACAAAAAAAUAAAUAAAAAGAAUGUAAUGUAAACUUGAAAAAAGAAAAAAGAAAACCCUAAGAAAAGAAAAAAAGUGCUGAAAGGAAAAGUGAAGAAGCACCUAGAAGAGACCGGCUGAAAGGAAAAAGGCUUCCGUUGGAGGAAGCAAGGUCUAGGUUUAAGUUUCAGUGAAAAUGAGAGAAGAAGAAGAAGGGGUUUGAAAUGCAGCCUUACGGAAUACAAUCAAUGCUGAAGGAGGGGCACACACACCUCUUCGGUUUGGACGAAGCGGUGGUGAAGAACAUCGAUGCCUGAAGCAACUCUCUGCCAUCACUUGAACUUCUCUAGGUCUCAAUGGUAUCGCUUUCUUACUCUAAAACUUACAGUCUCUGUGUACCAGAUUUGAAAUCAGUUCGCUUCUUAAAAUUUAUUUUUGUAGUCACUACUGCUCAGGUAUAAAUAAGAUGGUUAUCAAUCAUUUAGACAAGCCCUUUGUGACAAAUGAUGCUGCCACCAUUGUCAAUGAGCUUGAGGUUCAGCAUCCUGCUGCCAAGCUUUUGGUUUUGGCAGGCAGGGCUCAGCAAGAGAAGAUUGGUGAUGGUGCUAAUCUGACCAUUGCUUUUGCUGGGGAGCUCUUGCAAAACGCAGACGAGCUUAUAAGGAUAGGCUUGCACCCAAGUGAGAUCAUCAGUGGGUACAAUAAAGCCAUAAAAAAGGUUUGCUAAUGAUUUGCUGAUUGGUUACUCAUUUGGGUUAUUAGAAUUCUUCCGUUCUGAUUAUUUACUCGCUUGUUGGAAUAUUUCAGACAAUUGAAAUCCUAGAUGAACUGGUGAGCCAGGUUCUGAGAAUAUGGAUGUCCGUAACAAAGAAAAAGUGGUUUCUAGAAUGAAGGCAGCUGUUGCCGGCAAGCAGUUUGGACAAGAAGAUAUCUUAUCCUCACUUGUUGCCGAUAUAAGUAUAACUUGCAUACCCUUAUUUGUUAGUGCUUAAUUUCUAUGUCAGCUGCUCCACUAUUUAGGAGAAAAGGAAAAGAAAGAACAAUAAUGUGUUACUAAGCAAGUUCUGAUGGUAGAUUUUUUAUUGGGCAAUAUAGGCAUGCAUACAAGUAUGCCCCAAGAACCUAGCAAAUUUUAAUGUGGAUAAUGUACGUGUUGCAAAGAUUGUGGGUGGGGGUUUGCAUGACUGUAUAGUAGUUCGAGGUAUGGUGUUGAAAACCGAUGUUGUGGGGAAUAUAAAGCGAAUGGAGAAGGCCAAGGUUAGCACACUUCUGUUUUGAAAAAUUUGUUUAUAGGUAUAUUGAUUUUUGCUUAACAUAUAUAUGUAAUGAAGUGUUGUGUUUGAUCAUGGUCUAUCACUACUACAAAAAGAGAAAAAGACGACCAGAAAACAACGACGGUCUAAGUGAAAACCGUCGUGGUUUUUAAAAAGACGACGGUUCUAAAAACACCGUCGUGUAAUACCACCUUAGACAACUAAAAAAUGAAGAUUCAAAUGGCUGUUCAAAAAUAACGACGUACCUAAUUAAACAACCGACGUCUAUUUGAAACAGAUUUUCGCAGUGUAAAAUCAAAGCCAACAAAGAACGGCAGAAGUUAUGAAUCGACCGACGUAGAAAGUAAAGACGACGAUUUCAAUAAAAACCGCUGUUUUUACUCAUAAAAUAACACGACAAGGUUUUCGUAUAAGACGCCGUAUAAUUACAAACAAAUCCACGGCUUUAAAAUACAAAAUAUCACCGUAUUAAAUUAAUGUACAACGACGAAAAAUAUAAAUAUAUCGACGUCAUUCUCGUAUAGUUCUACGACGUUAUCUUUAAAUCGUACUAUAAAAUUUAACGUCGAAUUUAUUCAUUUUAUACGUCGUACCUUUAAUUUAAACCGUCGUCUUAAUAAGAAUUUUUGUUAACAAUUUUUUUCUUUGAUUUUCUUAUCCUACGUCGGUAGAUCUACUUAAUGACAAGAAUUGAAAUAACCACGACGGUUUAUAUAGAAAACCGCCGACAUAAUCAGAUUUGUCUGAGAUCCCAAGGGUUACGAAAUCUUACCAGAUGGAACUCUGUUUCACAUCAUAAUCUUAACAGAUGACACAGAUUUGCAAUCAGAGAGACAAUUUUUUGGAAGUUGAUGAUGUGUGUGCGUUUGUGUAUCUACAAAUAUUAUACCUAACGUCGUUGCAAAUUUGCAAUCAGAGAGACAAUUUUCAACAACGGUUAUAUUAUACCUAACGACGUUUAAAAAACAAAUCAACGUCGCUCAACAAAUAUAUUACGUCGUCUUAGUCUUACUUAAGACGACGAAAAACGACGACAGUAAUACAAAAACAGUCGUUGUUUUUAUAUUCUUAUUUUAUUUAAAUCUGUCAUCCAAAAAAGAAACUUUACAUAUUCCAGAACAUUAAUUUCCUUCAUUUUAAAUUUCCUCCGGAAAAAAAAUCUAUUUAUAACGCACUGUAAUUGAAAAAUAAACUGAAAGGUCACGGAAAAAAAAAUUCUAUUCAUAAUUUAAAAAUUCAAAUCCACGUCGGUUAUAUUAAACCUAACGACGUUAAAUGAAAAGAUUCCACGUCGCAAAACAAAUAUUGCGUCGUGUUAGUUAAAAACGACGGCAUAACAAAAAACCGUCGUUGUUUCAAACUGAAUUAAUUUAAAAUUUCUUCGGGAAAGCAAAAUCUAUUUAUAAUUUCCUCGGGUUAGUAAUAUUGCGUCGUGUUAGUUUACAAAUUCUAGAACAUUAAUUUCCCUCAUUUUAAAUUUCCUCGGGAAAGAAAAAUCUAUUUAUCACGCUUUGUAAUUGAAAACUAAAACUGAAAGAAUUCGGGAAAAAAAAACUCUAUUUAUAAUUUAAAAAUAAAAUCCACGUCGGUUGUAUUACACUUAACGACGUUUAACAAAAUAAUCUACGUCGGUAAUUAUAAAUCUACCGCCAUCUUACCUUAAUAUAGACGACGAGAAAAGACGACGGUAGAACAGAAAACCGCCGUUGUUUCAGUUUCUUUAACAGUUUGGUCCUUUAUCUUUCUGCAGGACUUGUAUAGUUCAAAGCAUUGACAAUGUCUUCAUCAUAUCUCCCAACAACUACUGAUUCGAUUGCUCAUGCUUUAGAGGCCAUCUGAAGCCAUUUCUAUUCUUUAUCGCAUUCUUGAAACCCAUCUUCUUCUUCUGAAGCUCUACGGAUAAAGGAAGAGGCUAUCACAAAUCUGACGGAUCUUCUUAGCCAAGAAAAUCAAGCAGAGGAUCAGGCACAUAUGAUCUUCAGAUUUCCCUGAGAAGCGAACUUUCCUUCGACAGCGAGUGGAGGCCAGGUGAUGGACAUAUUUUAUAUUAUAUAUUUAACCUCAUUCUUAGUAUAUUUUGGUUAAUAUUUUGGAAGAAUUUUGAUACUUUGAAUUAUAUUUUCAAUAUAGGACUUUCGACUCUCUCUGGAGCAAAACAUAAUCAAAUUGAGGAAUUUUGGAGUAAUUCCAGUUGGAGGACGUUCUUGAGUCACUUAGCUUGAUCGUAUCAAAAUUUCAGAUCUUUCUUCCAAGCGGUUAUUUUCUGGCAAUAAAAUAAAUGAGCAGUGCGCGGUGCUGGAAUAGUGACGUGUUGGGCUUUUAUUGCGUUUUUGAAGCCCAAGAUGACCUCGAAUGGGUUCGUGGCCUUCUAGAGAAGUGUUCAGAACAUUUUUAUCUUUAAAACAAGCUAUCUUGGGCCAGAUUUGGAGGAGAUUUGGGGCCAAAACGUGGCUGGGCAGAUUUUAGGCAAAUUCUCCUAUUCCAAUUUGGACUUUAUUUCCUAGUAUUAUUUUACUUUAAUUAGUUUCCUUGUGGGGAUAGAAAAGCUGUACAUUGGCAGCUAGGUUUUAAGGGGUAUUUAAGCUCUUUCUCACGAGGAAUUGAAGGACUCCCUUUUCACUUUUGAACUUUGCAUUGUGGAGAGCAAUUGCUAGGGUUUUGGGUUUUCACAACUUUCAGGUGUUUUCGUUCUUUUCUUCUUAAUGAUAUUUUCUUGGAUUUCAAUUAUGAGUAUGCGUAACUAAAUUUCUUUUGCUAGGGUGAAGCCUUGAACCUUAGCAUGAAUAUGUGAUUUUUAUUUAAUUGCUUAUGAUGAGUGCAUGCGUAUUUUGAAUUGUUAAUCACUGUUUUAAACUAUCUAAUUGUCUUAAUGCCUGAUCACCAUUAGGAUCUUUAGAAAAGUAAUUGGAUGCAAUUUUGGUCGGAAGGUUCCCUGAAAUUGAUGCUAGCUUCUUGUGAUUAAUAAUUGUAAUUUCACUUAAGAUGAACACCACGUCUUAAGGGUUGCAUGGUUUUUCAAAGGGUUUUCACAAAACUUAAUGAGUCUUUCAUGUUCAGAUUUGAUCCGAACGUCCGGACGGGUUGCAUGUUGGAUAUACGUUCUGUGUUGGAGGUUCCAAGUAGAAUAUACAUUAGGAAAACCUAACCUUCAAAGUGGCAUGUGCAAAUCAUAAGUAAUUGGUAAAAGUUCAUAGGAUUGCUAGGUGAUGGUGAAACCCUAGUGUUUUUAUAAAUUGAUAUUCAAAACUCUUUCUCUCAAUCGUAUUUGUUUUUGUUUAAUAUUUGUUUUUUAGAAUCCACCAAAUUUAUAAUCAUCUUUCUUGACUUUUUAUUUUAAGUAGUAAUUGGAAUUUGUUUUUACAUAAAUUGCUAAUUAGUCCUUGAGGAAAACGACCUUGCAUGAGCAUCUAUACUACAAUAGCCUUGUAUUCUUGCAAGUAUUUUAUGUGAUUUUUAACACUGUUUGCACAAGUACUAAAAAUCCUAUCACCAGGCUUGCAUCUCUUUUGAUGGAAAGCAAGGAGUAUUCAGAAGCACUAAGUGUCCUAUCAGGCUUGAUCAAGGAAGUGAGAAGGCUAGUUGACAAGCUUCUUCUUGUGGACAUAGAUUUGAUGCGAGUAAGCUCAAUUUCUCUUUGAGAAAGACAUCCAAAUUAUUGUCUUUGAGAUGUGAGAGACAGUGUCUCUGAGAGAGGAAGAACUUGGAACCCUAAAUGUAAACCGAAAAUGAAUGAAAGCGACAAAUUUAUAGAAUAAAUUUUUAAAACCAACGGCGGUCCUUACAAAAAAAUCGCUGUUUAAAUUGUAAAAUCAACGUCGGUAUGACCGACGUAUAUUACAGAAAUCCACGUCGGUACAUUAAUAAAAAUGACGUGUUAAAUAAUCUACCAUGACGCGAGUUAUUACUUAUGUACUUUAAUUUUUGAGUUUACUACGACGGUACCUACAACACUACUGUCGUAUUUAUUUACCACGUCCGAAGUUAAAUGUACCGUCGUAUUUUAUAAUUUAUACGUCGUAGUUAUAUGUAACCGCCGUAUUAUUUUUUUGAAAUGGUUUUAUAUGUAAGCAACUUUUCGUCUACCUGACUUACACAUGCACUGUUUUCAAACCCGAUUAAAAAUUUAAAUCUCCCAGAGAAAACUUUUUGACUUUUUUCCUUGUCAGAGCACUGUCAGAGUAUCUCAUCGUCUUCCUCUCGUCUUCUUCGUCGUCUCUGAACUUAAACAUCGUCUUCCUCUUGCUUUCAUUGCACGCAAAAGGUAAGCUUUCAUUUUCACUAUUUUGGUUGCUGUUUUGCAUGCUCAUACGUUUUUUGUUUGAAAAAUCUGUUUACCUUUUUUCUAGCCAAAAUCAUUUUACUUCUUUCCAAGUUUGAUAAAAUAUACAGACAAAGAGGGAAAGUUUUCAACUUUGAAGACAACUACCUCAACUAAAUAAGACGACGGUAGCUUCUUAUUUACGUGGUUAAAUAUGUAGACCACGACGGUUCGUCAGUCGUUCUAGCGUCGUCUGAAAAUUGACAAAGUUGUUUUUAAAAUUAUAGUCUUUUUUUUAUUUGCUUGUUUAAUUGCAGGUUUGAUUUCUCUGAACAUUGGUUUUUGUUUUUCCCUAAUUUGAUAAAAUAUAAAGAAAAAGAAAGUAGGGUUGGUAUCUAAUAUAGACGACAGUAUCUUAUUGUUUUACGUCGUGUGAAUGUUAAUACCACGACGUCAUAUUAAAAUACCGUCGUCUAUAUAAGAUUCCAAAACUUUCUUUCUUGGCCUUGUAUUUUAUCAAAUUAGAAAACAAAAAUCAUGGUUCAGAAAAAUCAAAUCUGCAAUCAAACAUUCACAGAGAAAGAAAGAAGGGUUUUGGAUCCUUAUAUAGACGACGGUAUAUUAAUAUUGACGUCGUGUGAACAUCAAUAUCACGACGUUAUAUAAAUAUUUCGUCGUUUAUAGUUAAUUAUCACGUCGUCCGGUAAAUAUCGACGUAAUAAGUUAUUAUUACGUCUUAUUUUAUAUUAUUUCGUCGUUGUUUAAUUACCUUGGUUUUAAACAUUUAUUACGUCUGAGAUUAUUUCAUUGCGUCGUUUAAAAUCAUAUCAUACGUCGUAUUUUAUUAAUAACCGUCGUUUGUGUUCUUAAUCUUUUCCUGAAAUAUUUUCACUUGCAGUUUUGUCUGUAAAAAUGGUUUCUCAAGACCAAAGUAAGGACUCUGGCUCCAAGAAAAAUGGAGGUAAGGAGCUUGGAAUGGUAACUCCUCAAGAGAAGUCUUCGAAGAAGAUGAAGUCUUCGAAGAAGAUGAAGUUUGCUUCAUCAUCUGCUGAGACAGAACCAACCAGCACGACAACAAUCUCUGAUGAUUCAAAGUCUGGUCGAGGUAUGAGCAUAAUGCCUCGUGUUGUGAAGAGAAAACUUCAGAAACUCAGGCCAAUUGUUGAGUACAAUAAAAGGGGGAAAGGAAUUGGCCAAGCACAUAGUGAGAUGCAGUCCUACAUUGGUGUGUUGGCACGCUCCAGAGUUCCACUUGUGGACAUGAAAUGGGCUCAAAUCCCCAAGGAUAUAAAGGAGCAGAUUUGGGAAGCAGUUGACAUUGCUUUUGUGGUAGGUCAAGGGGGCAAGAACUCUGUGUUAGCUUCUGCUGCCAAGAAAUGGAAGGAUUUCAAGUCUACACUAACGAGGCAUUAUAUCCUUCCAUACACCAAUGACAGGGAGAGAUUAAGCCAACCCCCUGAAACAUAUAAAUUCAUAGAGAAAGCACAAUGGGAUGCCUUUGUAGCUUCAAGGUUAUCCAAAGAUUUUGAGUCUGUGCAUUCUCAACAUGCACAGAUUAGGGAGAAACUUGAGUACAAUCAUCGAUUGUCUCGAAAAGGAUAUGAUGGUUUGGAGGAUCAAUUGGAGGAAACCAUGCCUGGGGUAGAAAUUGAUCGAUCUACCUUAUGGAAGAGAGCUAGACAGGACAAACAUGGUAACAUCCCGGAUCCAAAGGUGGCAGAGAAAGCAAAAUUAAUUGUAAGCCUACUCACUAUGUUUUAAAUUUUUAUUAAACUGUGAAUAAUUCUUAUUACGUCUUAUGUUAUAUUUUGCGUCGUGUGAAUGAUAUUACCAUGUCGAAAUUUUUUAAAAAACGUCGUUAAAGGUCUAAAUCAGGAAUCACUACUCUGUUUUCUGUAAUUAUAGCAUAAGAUGUCGGUGGUUCAUUUUCGCGUCGUUUGUAUUAAAUUACUACGUCGAAAUGUUUUAAACAAGGUCGUUAAAGGUGUGAAUAUUGAAUCAUCCCUCUGUUAUCUGUAAAUAAAGCAUAAGACGUCGGUGGUUUAUUCAUUUCGUCGUUUUAAAAAACUAACCACGUCGAUAUAACUACCGUCGUGAUAAAUUAUAAUAACGUCGAUUUAUAUGUUAUUGCGUCGUCUGAAAUUAUAUAAUCGUCGUUUGUAUAUAAAUAACCGUCGUGUGUUUUUUGUUCUUACUUUUUUAUAUAUCUUUGUUUUAGGAUGAAUUGCAAAAAUAAGUCUCGGAAGGCAAAGUCAGUGUAUCUGGCAGCAAUGAUGUGCUGACCAUGGCUUUGGGCCCCGAGCAUCCAGGCAGAGUGAGAGGUGUAGGUGCUGGGAUUUCCCCAAGGCAAUAUUUCAAUUUACCCAAACCACAGAGGAUGAGCUUUGACGACCGUUUAAAGGACAGUUUAAGAGUUCUCCUUCAAGAAGAGAAUAAAAAGAUGGAAGCUAAGGCAAGGGAAGAGGCUUUAAGGAUGGAGGCUAGAACUAAACAAUUGGUAGAGGCUGAGAGGGAGCAUUUCCUGAGUCAGCUUUCCCAAUUAAUUCCCAAUUUUGAUCCAAGCAUGCUUAAACCAAGAAUUAGCCAAAGUCCCAAAAAUCCAAUGUCUGACAAAGCAAGCUGCUCUGGAGGUGAUGUGAGAUCCCUACAUUUUGAGGAUGAUACUGCCAAAAAUGGGAAACAUCAGGAAGAAAAGGUAACAUAUCUGAACUUUGAAUUCUCUGUUUUUUUUAAAAACUAUUAGACGUCGUUAUUAUUAAUAAAACCGUCGUUUGAAAUACAUACCACGACGAUUUUAAAAAUAAACCGUCGUUUGUAUUUCAAUACCACGUCGUAUUUAGUUUACUUGUUUUACACGCCAUUAAACGUCGUUAUUUUUAAAACUUUGUGGUUUUUAGACGACGGUGUUAGUCAUUCUCGACGUAAUAUAUAAAUCCCACGACGUUUACUAUUUACCAUCGUUUAAUAAUUUAAGACGUCCAUAAUUCUUACAUACUGUCUUGUGUUUUGUCUUACCACGACGUUUGAAUUUAAUUUUUUUACUUUCUCUACAUUCUUUAUUACUUAAAACAGAAAAAUGAAGGAAAUCAAGAUGAAGAGAAGAAUGAAGAAAAAAAAGAUGAAGAGAAGGAAGAAGAAAAAAAAGAUGAAGAGAAGAAAGAAGAAAAACAAGAUGAAAAGGAGAAAGAAGAUGAAGAAAAGCAUGACGACCAGGUAUGUUCACAUAACUUUGCCUUUUUUAUUUGUUUUUCAAAAUUUCAGACGUCGAUAUUUUUCUUUAAACCGUCGUUUGUUUACAACUUAGACGGCGGAAUUUUUUUCUAAGACGUAAUAAAUUGUUCACCACGACGGUUUUUUCACCGUCGUUUAAAUUCUUUUCAGACGACGUUUUAUUCCUUAAACCGUCGUUUUUAUUGAAUUACCACGUCAGUUUUUUUAUUUCUUUAAACAGGUUAUUAAAGUUGUUGACUAUUCAAAUAUGGAGGCGCCAUCUUCUUUAAAAUCCCUUUGUCGUUAUGUGAAAACGACACUCGUGCCUCAGGAUAAGACCCUGAACUUUACAAUUGAUAAGGAGGUGUUUGGUCUAGAACGCGAUACCUUCGUCCUGCCUGAAGAUAUUACACAAUUUGCAGGCAUGGAAGAAAUAGGAGCUACUGUGGUUGCUGUAUAUAUGAGGUUUGUCAUUCUAAAAUAAUACGUCGUUGGUUUAUUUAUUGCGUCGUCUUAACUAACUAACCACGUCGUUAGUAUGUACCGUCGUGAUAAAUAUAUUAUAACGUCGUUGUCUAUUUCAGUACGUCGUGUGAAAUUUUAUAAUAUGUCGUUUUGUUAUACAUAACCGUCGUGUGUUUUUUUGUGCUGACUUGUUUAUAUUAUUUUAUAUAUUUAGGUACUUACAUGAUCUUUUGAAACAAGCAAAUAUGUGCAGCAUGGUUGGCUUUAUCGACCCUGCUACAGUUAGUGCCAACUCUGGGACAAUAGCUGGCAGAUCACGAUUGGUAGCAGCUCGACUUCAGAAGACUGAUGGUGAACAGAUUUUCAUGAUGCCUUACAGUCCAGGGUUAGUCUCCUUAACAGGAUUUUGUUUUUAUGAUUUUCAAUAAAUGACAGCGUAUAAACUAACCACGUCGGUGUUUUAUUUUAUUGAGUCGUUUGAAACUACUAACCACGUCGGUAGUUAUUUAUCGUCGUGAUAAAUAUAUAAUGUCGUCGAUUGCUACUUUAUUUCGUCGUGUGAAAUAUUAUAAUACGUCGUUUUUGUAAAUAACCGUCGUUUUUAUAUUAAUUUUGUGCAGCCGUCAUUGGAUCUUGCUGAUUGUGAGUGCAAAGAGGGAAACCGUCUAUUUUCUGGAUUCUCUGCCGGGAAAUCGUGUGGUCGAUGAAUAUGGCAAAAACAUCGUGAACAGUGCUAUAAAAAUAUAUAAUUCUCACAUAGCCAGAUCAGGCCGUAAAGCAGUAAUUUGAAAAACUCUGUCAGGCACACCAAAGCAACCCAGCAGUGUCGAAUGCGGGUAUUAUGUGAUGCGCUUCAUGAGGGACAUCAUCAUGGAUCCUUCCUUGGCGUUUGAGAAGAAGGUAAGAAGAAAUUACCUUCAUACAUUUUACGUCGUUUUUUGUAUUAUCAACGACGGUCAUGUAAAAUUACCGUCGUUGAAUAGAUAUACUACGUCGGUUAUGAAAAAUAUCGUCGUCUGUGAUUGAAUUUCUUUUUAUUUAUAAACCCUAAUAGUCAUUGUUUAUGCAGUAUGCCAAGGGAAAACAGGAAGCGCCAUACCCUCAAGAAGCAAUUGAUGAAGUCCGGAAUGAAUGGGCAGAGUUUGUUUGCCUUCACAUAGAAUAGGGGAAUUAUUGAACACUUGAUAUUUAUGUAUAAUGUACAAAUUUUGUCUAUAAUAUAUAAUGUAAAAAUUUGUUGAGGUUUUCUUAAAUUAAAAAAAAACAAACAUACAAAUUGCGUAACCGACGUGUAAUACUUUUCCAACGACCUAAUAAAGUCAAAAACCGUCGUUUUUUGUUGUUUCAUUUUAAACAAAUCCGACGUAAAAGUAUAAUUUUUGGGUAGUAUAGGGUAUAUAUUAGGCUGUAAAACCAUAAACCCUUUUAUAAACUUAAAAUUUUAAAUUAUAUAAUUUAGUUUUAAGGGUUUAGGGUAUUAAUUUUUAACGACGGUGGUUGAGUCGUGGAAUACAUAUGUUACGUCGUGCAGUAAAAUAUCCGACAUGGUUUAUACUUUAAACGACGUCAUUUUAAUAUGUAAGUCGUCUAUUAUAAUUUACAACGUCUUUAAUUUCUUAACCUUGCCGUGGUUUUUCAGUCGUCUUUAUAUCAAAAUAUUCAAAAUUAAUUUAAAAUUAAUCCGAAAAAUGAAGCGUCAAAAUAAACGGCGUUACGUUCAGUGUUUCCGUCGUGGAAUAUUACAUUUACGUCGGUUCGUGUAGAACUUUCGCCAUGGUUUUUCUUUCGACGUUUUAAAGAGCGCGCUCUCUAAAAAUUUUCGCGCGACCUAAAUUUUUUAGAUUUGGCUCUUAUUCUUAUACUUCUAACCCUGAACCCUAAAAUUUUCAGAUUUCGCGCAACAUAACAUUUCGCUCUCUCACUUCUGCUCUAAUUAAAAGUUGCACUCUCCAGGCUCCGUCGAAUCUGUGAGCUCGUCCAACCUGUAAGUACAAACUCUAUCUUCCCCUUGUAAAUUCAUUGAAUGAUAUUAGGUUGUUUUGUUAAAGGGUUUUAGGUAUAUGCUUUGCGAUCUGUUAAUAAUGUGCUUAUAGGUAUGGGUUCAUGGAUUUUCUGUUUAAUGGGUUCAUGGAUUACAUUAUCUGUUAUGUUGAAUUGGGAAUGGAUUUAAUUUUGUCGGAUCUUUUAAUCACCCUAUGUUAUGUUGAAUUGGGAAUGGAUUUAUUGUUUUCAUGCUUGGUUUCAUGUAUAUGUUGGUUUCUUGCUUGGUUUCAUAUAUAUGUUGUGUUCUUAAUGGGUUUUGGGUUCUUGAAAAUAAACUGAGACACGACGCCUUUUUAGUCAUACGACGACGAUUACACGACGGUUUUUUUAAACUACCGUCGUUGUAUUACUUAUACACGACGGUUUUUUCAUAAACCGUCGUUUGUAUUACUUAUAUUAGACGACGUCUGUUGAAAAUCCGUCGUCUAUAUAUGCCAAAUACGUCUGUUUUUGUUUAAAACCCGUCGUCACUGUUGUGUAUUACUUGCUAUUAGAUCUUUGUAUAAUCUGCUAUAGUGAUGGUCAUUGCCUGUAUUUUCACUUUAUUAUAGAUAAUAGGUUAUAGUGUCGGAGAUGGAUAAGUCAUGGAUGCACUCGGAUAGAAGAUCGAAGGCAUAUGAGUUUGGGGUGGAAGCAUUUUUGAACUUUGCUGUAGAAAAUCUUCUAACUACAACACAUAUCCGUUGUCCAUGUGUUAAAUGUGUUAAUUUGAAGUUGUUUGGGGUUGGAAUUAUAAGGGAUCACGUAUACUUUAAUGGAAUUGACCAAAGCUAUAAGAAUUGGACAUUUCACGGAGAACCUUGGGAAGCAACUACUAAUGCUAGUAGAAAUGUUGAAGAAGAUGAUGGCCAUAGUAGGUACAGUUUUGUGUCUGAAGAAAUUGAUAUGGAUGAUAAUGAUUUUGGUGAUUUUGGUUCCGAUCCGUAUGAGUUUGCCAAUGUGAUUGGGGAUGGAGAUCAACCAGUGUACCCUGGUUGUAGAAAGUACACGAAGUUAUCGGCAUUAGUGAAGUUGUAUAAUUUGAAGGCAAAACAUGGGAUGAGUGAUGUCUGUUUUACAGAAUUAUUGAUACUUCAAGGCGAUUUACUUCCAGAAGGAAAUACAAUACCAACCUCUAUGUAUGAGGCUAAAAAGACUUUGUGUACAUUGGGGCUGAGUUAUGAGAAAAUGCACGCAUGCCCCAAUGAUUGCAUCUUGUAUAUGAAGGAGUAUGAGGAUUCAACUAAUUGUCCUGCUUGUGGUAUCUCAAGGUGGAAGGAAGGCAAAGAUUCAAUCUUGAAAGAGGGUGUGCCAGCGAAGGUGGUGUGGUAUUUUCCCCCAAUUCCAAGGUUUAAAAGGAUGUUUCAAUCACAUGAGACAGCUAAGAGUUUGACUUGGUGGCAUGUUGCUAGAAAAUCAAUUGACGGUCAGAUGUCUCAUCCGGCGGAUUCCCCGUCUUGGAAACUUCUUGAUGAUAAAUGGCCUGAGUUUGGUAAUGAGCCGAGAAACUUGAGAUUGGCUCUUUCAUCUGAUGGAUUCAAUCCCCACAGUUCUCUAAGUAGCAGAUAUAGUUGUUGGCCGGUUAUCUUAGUUACAUAUAAUCUCCCUCCAUGGCUGUGCAUGAAACGAAAGUUCAUGAUGUUAACCUUAUUGAUUUCCGGUCCUAAACAACCCGGAAAUGAUAUAGACGUCUACUUGGAGCCUUUGAUUGAUGAUUUAAAAUCUUUGUGGGAUGGGAUUAGAGGAGUGUAUGAUGCACAUAAUGGAGAAUACUUUACACUCAGAGCUGCAUUAAUGUGGACAAUUAAUGAUUUCCCCGCCUAUGGAAACUUAUCUGGUUGUAUUGUUAAAGGAUAUAAAGCUUGUCCAAUAUGCGGCGAUGAUACACCUAGUCACAGGUUGAAAAAUGGCCACAAAAUUUGUUACAUUGGGUAUAGAAAAUGGUUACCAAUCAAUCAUCCAUAUAGGAGGCAACAUGCAGCUUUUAAUGGGAAACCUGAAUAUGGCAUACCUCCCGAGCCAUUAACCGGAGAAGAAGUGCUGCAUAUGGUUGAAAAUGGUGACAGAGUUUGUUGGAAGAAGAAAUCAAUAUUCUUUGAUCUCGAGUAUUGGAAAUACCUUCUUGUGAGGCAUGCCCUAGAUGUUAUGCACAUUGAGAAGAAUGUUUGCGUAGUAUCAUUGGUACAUUGCUGGAGAUCCCUGGAAAAAAUAAAGAUGGGAUUGCUGCUCGAUUAGAUUUAUUGAACAUGGGGGUCAAAACUGAUUUGCAACCCGAGUAUGGAGAAAGACGUACUCGUUUGCCUCAUGGGCCUUGGAAUUUGUCAAGAGCAGAGAAGAGAGAGGUUUGCAAUUCUUUCUAUGGUAUGAAGGUCCCUGAAGGUUAUUCUUCAAAUAUUAAAAAUCUUGUAUCUUUACAAGAUUCAAGACUUCUUGGCCUUAAAUCACAUGAUUGUCAUACCUUAAUGCAACAAUUGCUCCCUGUGGCAAUUCGUUCUGUUUUGGAGAAGCCUGCAAGGUAUGCAAUAACUCGUUUGUGCUUCUUCUUCAAUGCUAUAUGUGCAAAGACUGUUGAUGUUUCCAAGCUAGAUAAGUUGGAAGAAGAUGUAGUAGUUACUCUGUGUUUGCUUGAGAAGUACUUUCCCCCUUCAUUCUUUGAUAUCAUGGUUCAUCUAGUAGUACAUCUUGUCAGAGAAGUUCGUCUAUGUGGGCCAGUAUAUUUUAGGUGGAUGUAUCCGUUUGAAAGAUAUAUGAAAGUGCUGAAGGGGUAUGUUCAGAAUCGUACUCGUCCCGAAGGUUGCAUUGCUGAGCGGUAUAUAGCUGAAGAAGCGGUAGAGUUUUGUACUCAGCAUUUAUCUGAUGUUAGUACAGUUGGAGUGCCUUCAAGCCAAAAGAUGGGACUUUCAAAGCCAUUAUCAGGUUGCACAGUGAGCGUAGUUGAUCAGGACCUGUUGAAUCAAGCACAUCUAUAUGUCUUGGAGAAUACGGAGGAAGUCCUACCUUAUAUCGAGUACGUAUGAGUUUUAUUCUUUAAGUUUCCAUUUUAAAUUAUUUCUUAUGUUUAUCUUAUAUAUUUGGGACCGUAAUGCUUGAAUUUUUCGUGUCAUGUAGGCAACAUAUGAUCCACAUCAAGACUGCUUAUCCAAAAUUUAGAAAGAGAACAAAGUGGCUGCAGGAUAAGCACAAUAGCACUUUCAUUCAAUGGCUACGCUUCAAGGUAUAUGUUGUUGAAUAACAUAUUUCUCUUUUAAUUUUCUUCUUAUUUCUAUGUUAGAUUGAAUUAAGAUAUGAUUAAUUUGCAGGUUCAAAGUGAACUUGAGGAAGACAAUCAUGGCGUAUCAGAAAAUUUAAGGUGGCUAGCAGCUGGUCCAAACAUGGCAGUGCCAUUAUAUAGGAGCUAUCUUAUUAAAAGUAUUAAAUUCAAUAUCAAGGCACAAGAUGAUGUGCGGACAACUCAAAAUAGUGGAGUUUAUUUACUUGCACAUACCAUGCAAGUUGCAAGUGCCAAGGAUAAAAACCCAAUUCUCUCAAAUAUGGGUUUCUAUGGUGUCAUUCAAGAAAUUUGGGACCUUGACUACCAAAAGUUUACAAUCCCAGUCUUUAGGUGUGAUUGGAUAGAUAGUUCUGGUCUUGUAGUCGACGAACUUGGAUUUACCCUGGUAGAUUUGAGUAAAAUUGGACAUAGGAAUGACCAAUUUGUUUUGGCUUCUCAAGUCAAACAAAUAUUUUUUGUUGACGACCCGAUGCAUCGUGGUUGGUCGGUAGUGUUAUCAAUGCCUAAUAGAGAAUAUAAUGAUGUUAUUGGUGAUGAAGUCUUAGGUGAUGUGAUAAUUGAGUGUGAGCCAUUUACUAGAGGGAUGCCAAAUGUUGACACAUUUGAUGAACUGGUGGGUGAGUUAGGUGGUCAAAAUAUUCGAGAUGGGUGUGAAGAUAUGUGGAUUGAAUGAUGCUUAUGUAAUUGGCAGUGUAUGACAUUAAUUUUGUAAUAUAUUGUAAUGUGAUUUCUUCACUUUCUACGUUCAAAUAAAACACGACGUUAUUGUGAACCAGUUAUUCAGCAUAUUUACCGACGUCUUAAAGCAACGUAACAAUGAAGAACCACGACGCUAUUGUGAAGCAAUUAUUCAGGAUAUCACGUCGGGGAAGGAUUAAGAACCGCCAUGUAAUUCAAAAUAACACGACUCCAAUCCCAUAAUACCGACGUCUAAAAAACGAGAUAUAUAAUCUGAACGUUAAAAAAUACGACGUCAUCAUACAUUUUCCACGUCGCAAGUUCUUUUAUAAACGAAGAGGAACGAAAUGAAUUCCGACGGUAAUUCAUUAUAACCGCCGUCUAAUAUCAAUUAAACGACGUUAUUUGUAAUACGGCUCUCAUCAUAAUCAACGCCGUCUAUAUGUUCUGUAAUACGGCUCUCAUUUAUUUGGAACCGACGUUGUUUAGAAGUUCAACGUCGUCUAUAUUAAUAAGUGCGUCGUGAGUAAUGAAUACAUAUAAAUACAACGUCGACUAUAUAAAUGCCACCGACGUUGUUUCGCAUUUCAACGUCAACUAUAUAAAUACAUACGUCGUAAAUAAUGACACUGACAACUAUUUUCACGUCAUCUUUUUUAGAAAAAUCAAAGUGAAAAAUUUAUUUCACGACGAUUGUUUGUAAAUAAGAGACGUAGUAGAUUUCAAUAACGUCGUCUUCUCAUGUAUUUAAAGACGUCAUAUUUUUUCUUGUCGUGAAAAUUAUAUUUAACGGCGUAGUGUUUUAGUUGUCGUCGUUGUAUGUCUAUCUUGCGGCCUUAUUCUUUUAAUAUGUGUCAUAUUUUUCCUUUUUGACGACGGUGAUUUGUUUGAGUUGGUCGUCUAUUCUCAUCCUCGACUAUUUUUUAGAACCUUAGCAGACUAAACACGUCUGUUUUUAUUUGUUUUCGACGUUGUUUUAUUUAACAACGUCUAAUAUUUAUCGUCGUUGUUUGUUUCUGAAAAUAGGACGUAUAAAUUUUGUAAUACGACUCUCAUAUAUUUGUAACCGACGUUGUUUCGUUGUUCAACGUCUACUCUAUAAAUACAUACGUCGUAAAUAAUGACACUGACAACUAUUUCCACGUCAUCUUUUAUAGAAAAAUCGAAGUGGAAAAUUUAUUUUACGACGGCUGUUUUUAUAUAGGCGACGUAGUAGGUAUCAAUAACGUCGUCUUCUAACGUAUUUAAAGACGUCAUAUUUUUUAUUGUCGUGAAAAUGAUAUUUAACGGCGUCUUAUUUUAAUUUUCGUCGUUGUAUGUCUAUCUUGCGGCCUUGUUCUGUUAAUAUGUGUCAUAUUUUUCCUUUUUAAUGACCUUUUUUUAGAGAGUUGGUCGUCUAUUCUCAUCCUCGACUGCUUUUUUGAUCUUUUUGCAGUACAAAGACGUCGUUUUGUAUUUGUUGAUGACGUUGUAUAUUUUAACAACGACGGUGAUUUAGCGUCGUGAUUUAUGAGGGAAAAGAUGACAGUGGAUUCCACGACCAUUGAAAAACCGAAUACACGACGGUGAUUUACCGUCGUCUUUUUGCUUUUUUGUAGUAGUGUAUUAUUAAUUCUGACAGAUUUACUCAUUCAGUGAUUGCUUUGAGUUGUCCUGUAGUAAUUUUUGUUUAGCAUUGAGUUGUAUUUUGAUUCUUUUAAAGUAUGUUAAAUGUUUUUUUUGUAGAUUGUUGAAUUAUAAAAAUAGGUUGGGUUUGGUUAGCUAAAAUUAUUGUUAAUGUUGUGUUUGUAUUUUGAGCUACUGAUUUAGAAAAUAUUGACAAACUUUGUAUCCUUGGGUUUCUGCUUAACAGUAUGUUUUUAUUGAAGUUUAUAAUUCUUUAUACUUGGUCAUACUUGUUUUCGUUAUGCGAUCCAGUUGCUGUUUUCUUUAUGAUAAAAGCUUUCAAGCCUUUUAUGUGGUGUAAAUGUAUGGUUCAUGGGUUUGGGUUUCUAAGCUUUGUAUAUUUGUUUACACCUUUUCAGGUUGCUGUGUUUGCUAGUGGUGUUGAUACCUCUGCAACUGAGACCAAAGGAACUGUCCUAAUUCAUACUGCUGAUCCAAGUACUUUUUGAAAAAGAAGAUCCCUUAUGGAUUGCAGUUAUCUUUGAGAACUGUUAACUGUUCAUAUUGGAUGAGUUUUUAAACUCUCAGGUUCUUUUGUAAUGAUCCUAGUAUGCUUUAUUGUUAACUGUUUUGACCUUUUCUUUCUCUUGGGUUGGUAGUAUCAUAUCUGAUGUUUGUUACUGUAGUCUUUGCAUAUUAAAGUUUUGUGCAUAUUAAUUUUGAUCUUCCUAACUUGCUUGUCUUGGAUACAGAAAAUGCCUUUGCCUUUCUGUUUCCAUAAUUUGUUUGCAAAGAUAGGUUUUAUGUCUCACAUGGCUUCUAAUAAGCCUUCUAUUGGCAUCUUCUAGCUAGAAAAUUAUGCAAAGACUGAAGAAGCUUAAGUUUUAGGAGCUCAUCAAAGCAGUUGCUGAUUCAGGUGCGAAAGUAAUUGUGAGUGGAACAGCAGUUGGAGAGAUAGCACUGCAUUUCUGUGAGCGUUACAAGUAAGUAUCAAUUUUCUACUGUCUUGUCAUACAUGCAUGCAUAUCCACUAAUGUUGUACUUGACUUUAGAUACACACUUACAUAUGCAAUACCCCCUUGAAGUUAUUUGGGUCUCUUAGAGAUCCUUUAGAUAUAUUAGUAUUUUACUUUUUUGGUUAUUGAUUCCAGGCUUAUGGUGCUGAAAAUUAGUUCUAAAUUUGAAUUGAGACGACUUUGUUGUACAACGGGUGCUGUUGCUAUGGCAAUUUUAAUAGAAUUUGAAAUUUUCUGAGAACUGUAUUGAAUGCUUCCUAAUAUACUUUUAAUGUUUGCAACAGUUGAAGCUUUGCCAGCCUAACCCAGAUGAGCUGGGAUAUGUUGACUCUAUCUCGGUCGAGGAAAUUGCUAGUGUUAGGGUAUGUUAAAAAUCUUUUUAUGGACAUCAGUGUUUUCAGAGACAAGGUGUUGGCGAAAGGCAUUACAUGUCUUGCAGAACGUGGCAUAAGCCUUUUAGACACAUUAGUUUUAUUGAAAAAUCUAUAAACUAUAUAAAAGAAUUAAAAUCAAGUAUUAACUUUCAUUCAAGGAUAAUAAGCAAGUAUAAAACAGUGAUUUACAUAGUAUUUUGUCGAUAAAUCUGCUUAUUCUUGCCCCAUUUGUUUUCUCCUAUUUCGUUUUAACAUGUCCAAUGAUUUGUCAUGUAGGUCACUGUUGUGAAGAAUGAAGAAGGUGGUAACUCUAUAUCUACUGUACUUCUACAAGGGAGUACUGAUAGUAUAUUAGAUGACCUGGAAAGAGCAGUUGAUGAUGGAGUGAACACUUACAAGGUAAUUUACAAGGAACAUUCAGAAUUUUGUAUGUUCUUGUUAGGCUGGUUUUGUUUUACCUCUUCAAUCAUUGUUAGCAUAUGGUUCUCUGGAACUUUUGAAUAAAUUGUUUAAUCAGAUGUCCAAACUGUUGGAAUUAAUAUCUUACUGUCGUAAUGCAUUUCAUUUUCAGGCAAUGUGCAAGGAUAGCCGCAUUGUUCCUGGAGCGGCAGCUACUGAAAUUGAGUUAGCUAAGAGAGUAAAGGAAUUCUCUUUUAUAGAAACAGGGUAAAUGGCGUGAAUUAUGAUUUUCUCAAGAUGUUGUCCCUGAAACAUAAAAUAGAAUAUUGAUGUCUAGACCAACUAUUGGAACUUGAUUUUGUAAUCAUUUUCCCAGUCAUAGAUUUCUGAUUGGGCAGUAGUGCAAUAACCCACUAAAGAAACAAUGGUUUUGCAGAUUGGAUCAGUAUGCUAUAGCAAAAUUUGCCGAAAGCUUUGAGAUGGUGCCUAAAUCGCUAGCUGAAAAUGCUAGGCUUAAUGCAAUGGAGAUCAUAUCUUCUAUAUAUGCUGAACAUGCAUAAGGAAAUACCAAAGCUGGCCUUGACUUGGAGGAAGGCCGUUGCAAAGAUGUGUCAACUCUUAAUAUUUGGGACCUCCACAUAACAAACUACAAUAUUCCUUAAAUAAAACAAACUAUUAACACUACAAGAAAAAAGUCCUUUAACAACGCGCAAUGUGCGUUGUGAAAAUAUAUUGACAACAUGCGGCACACGUUGUUGAAGCCGAUGUUGUUAAAAGGUUUAGGGCUUUCGACAACACGCAUUACACGUCGUCGUUCAUUUUGGUGCUCGUUGUGAACAACAUUAACCACAACACUUGCGCGUUGUGGGAGCGAUUAACAACAACGUGCCUAGCAUGUUGUCUUAUAAUAUUACGACAGCGUGUCUGAGCUCGUUGUUGUUUAUGUUUUGACAACAGCCAAUGCGCGUUGUUAUAUCAAAUAUAUAUUUUUUCAAAUAUAUAUUUUUAAUAAUUAUCAAAAUUACCUGAUAUAAUUUAUCUAUAAAUUGAAGCUCGAUGAUAAACAUAAAUAUUUCCUUACUUCACAUUCAUAAGACAGCCCAGAAUACAAAGCUUUCAUUCAAAAGAUAAAUAAGGAGUUCCAUACAUAUUAGAAAAAUAUAUUCAUCCCAAUUCUAAUUGUGCAAAAUCAUUGUUCUAUACCUAUAAUUACAAUUCAAAAUCCUUGUCAAAAUAAUCUAAAAACAUGAUUGAUUGCACUUAAAGAUCAUGCUGAAACAUGCUUUAGAAACUUGGUUAGUUGCACCUCAAAAUCCUUGUCAAACUGUUGAGUAUCGCAAUCUGAAAGCCUUGUCAAACAUGGUCUAAGCACCUGAAAAAAGUAACAUACGUAGCAAAAAAGAGAUUAGUACAUUAUUAGAAACUUUGAAUGUUCAGCAAUGUCAAAGUAAAUAGAAAAAUACCUUAGUUAAGCAAUUUUAUACAGCUUUUUGCCCAUGCAACAGUACUGCCUAAAGUUUCACCAAGUCUUCGCGCUUCAUCUGUGGGUCUAUACAUGUUAAGUUCUUCAUCAAGCACUUCAUCAACCCAAACCUUCCAACAAUCAUGUCCAAUAGGCAUAUGAUGAACUUUAACAGUUGGGUCUGUUGAGGCAAUAUGUCCCUCAGCUACAACUUGCUCCAACUCAAAAUUGUACCAGUGUAAAAGUUGACAUCUUCCAUAUUCAAGAUUGCUACUUUGACCACAUCUUGCAUUCACAUUGUAAUUUUUAUCUUGUACAUGACGGCUUCCUUGUUGUGACUAUAUGAAAUACAAUGGAAGAUAACAAUAAUUUAGAAAUUAUAAGCUAUCUCAUAGAUUACUAUAUCAUGCUAUAAUUAUCAUGAAAAAUACGUACUUGAGGAGUACAUGCAUGUGCUGAGGAGUACAUGCAUGUGCACUUAUCAUAUCCUCUACAUUCUUAUUUUGAGGCUGUAAAAAGUUAAAGAUAAGCUUGAGACAAAAUUUGUGAUUUAAUAAAUAACUAUAUGAAUAAAUGCUUCAUAGAUUAUUUUAAGAAUUUUAUACCUCUUGAGAUAUUUUAAUAAAUGCUUCAAGUUUGGCUUCAAUUAGCUCCAUCCUUUGAGAUUGAGAUUUCACUACGGAUUCAAGUUCUUUAACUCGUCCACUGCCUUGAAUUACUGCAUCUACUCUAGAGGGUGUUGCACCAAACCCAAGCCAUCGAACUCGGCCACGAGUUUCAGGUCCCAAAACUCUUGCUAUAGCAUCAUCUCGUAUAGAAUUUCUUGCGGGUGGAUUCUCUUUUGACUCAUUGCACGUCUUUAUAUCUUUCUAUAACAUAUAAAACACAAGCUUAAUAAACUAACAUCACUAAUGCAGAAACAAGAGCUUAUUUUCUUAUAAAAAUUAAUGCAUCAUAACCAAACCCCAACACUUCAACAAAAUAAAUCCCAGCAGCUUCAACUGACUAAGUCACACAGACAAAUAAUAUUAAUUUGGAACUUCCAUUUUGUGUCUUACCAAUAUGUUGCUAACAACUUUGUUAAUUGGUGUACCAUCCUUUCUCUCAUGCGCUUUUGUCCACAAUGUCACUCUAUUUAUUUCUUCAGGAUUUGGAUGAUUUAAUUUCUACAUGAGAACAAAUUAGGUAUCUACUCGAAAAAAAAUUAAAUUAAAUAUUUGGUCGUAUGCUUAGUAAUCAUACCAUGUCAUACUCCAUACGGGCAUAGCCUUUUCGACUUAUUGUAUGUGUGUACUUUUGCUUCUUUCUCAUUGCUUUAAACUUUUCACUUAGUUUCUACAAGAGACAACAAAUAGUUACAUGAGUAAAAAAAAAAAGUUAGAAAUUGAUAAGAAUACCUGAAAGUAUAAUUAUUGCUAAGAAAGAAAUACCCAUUUGAAAUUCCGCUCCAAGUCUUUCUUUGACAAAUUUGUCCCAAUCUUCCCUUGACUUUACAUUGUCUAGCUUCACAAGGGAAAUGGCACGUGCCUUAUGCUUUCUUUUACUUGCUUCACGAAUUGCUGUUGUUAUUUUUGAUUUAAAUUGUCUCCAAUAUUUCCCCAUCAUCCUAAAAAUAAAAUUUUUAUGCUCAUCUCCCACUAUGUAGUUUUGCUGUAUUUUCAAAUACAAUAGUAGUUUAGUUUCUAAAUAGAGAACAAAUCAAAUAACAGUUUGGUAUAUAAAAAAAGAAAAAAGAAAAAAAGAAAAAGCAAACCUGAAGUAAUAACCAAAGCUCAUCCUUGUUUUUUUCUUUAAGGUCCUUCCAAUUUGACAUAACAAUAGGCACAUGCGCUUGCAUUAAGACCCCAAGAAAAUGAGGCAAAAUACUCUGAUUUUGGACCACAUAGUUGUCCCCCGAGAUUGAAACUAACUUCUAACCGUGAUUUUUUGCCUUGGGGAAUAACUGUCAUUCUAGUAGGACCUCGCUUCUUUUUUUGUUCUUUGGUUUGUGUAACAUUUUGAGCUUGUGCUGGUUGCUCUUCUACAUCAGUAGCUGGAUGAGUAGAUGAAGAAUUGGACCUCACAUUAGAUGUUCUAACCUCAUUUUCACGAUGUCUUCUAAUUGUAGUUUCCUGCUGCGAAUUGUCUUGUUGUGUACCUCUUGGUUGUUUCUCUUUGUUAUUCAUCUUUUCAUCACAUAUACGAAUUCCUAAAUUUCGACGUUGAGUUGCAAUAGCCAAUGCUUCCUUGAGUUGCUUUGCUGUUCUCUUUACAAUAAUCUUAGAAGACUUCAUAGCAAAAGUACAUAAAUAAAAUUAUUACCAAGUAUUAUUCACUUUGAAGAAAAGUAAAAAAAAUUAGUCCUACCUUACAACCAGACAUCUUGUGAUAUACUUUUUGAAAGACUUUGACCGCAACCUAUUUGUGCAAAUAAUCUCGCGGGAGAAUAUUCGCUUCUAGAUCCUUCAACAUUCGAUCUUUCUUCUCUCUCUUCCUCGAUUCCUGUAAAAAAGAUUGGAGUAAAUAGACUACACCUAAGGGGUGUUGGCCAAAGGCCCUCCGAUGCCUAAGUUAGUUCGAGUGUUUGUAGGAAAACAAUAGCUAAGCAAAGGGUACGGAGUUGUAUGUAGGGUGUAAAUUAGGUGGCCAGAGCCGUGUGUGGUGGCCGGAGCCGUGUGGAGAAAAUAUAGAGAGUGGAGAGGGAGAGAGAGCUUCGGGUAUCUUUCUAGGGUAUUAGGAGUAGGUUUUCUGAAGUACCUUGAAUGAUGAAUGAGGUCGUCUAUUUAUAGGAGCCUCGGGGCUAGGGUUUCGUAGGGAUUGAGUCGGACUUGAUAAUAUCUGAAUUAAUGAUAUUAUCUCUUAAGAAGAUAAUAUCUGAAUUAAAUGAUAUUAUCUUCUCUUUAUUAGGAUAAUAUCUGAAUUAAUGAUAUUAUCCCUUUAAAUAAAGAUACUAUCAUAUUAAUUAAGAUAUUUAUCCCAAUUAAUUAAUUAGCCAGAUAAACUGGUUUAAUUAAUUAAUUUAAGAAAUAAUCUUUUUUUCCACGUGGCGUGCCCUGAUUGGAGACGAAAAUAUAUGCUCCCACACAACCAACCUGGAAAACAAUAAGAAGUACAUGAUUUAGCUAUGAAGCAUAUUAUCCCUAUAUACUAUCAACUGACAGUGAAAUUUAAUAAAUCACCACUCAUUGAAGUAUAGUAGAAUACAACACAAAAAGUUAGAACUCAUUUAUUUCAUUGAACACAAUACAACACAAAAAGUUAGAACUCAUUUGUUUCAUUGAACACAAUACACCAAGUGAAGACAUAUAUUUAAUAUUAUCCUUUCACAUCCAAUCUUAGAUGAAUCAUUGCACUACUCAUCAAAAAAACAUUCCAUCAACGUCCAUCCGCACAUAUUGUUCAUCCUCAGUAUCAUCAUAAUCAAGUCUUGAUACAUCAAAUGGGGUAGAUGUGCCACUUUCCAUCUCAUCGGAUAUCUCCAAGUCUUGAAAUCCUUUGGUGGUGCUUUCAUGACAACAUACCAACUAGAUGUCUCAUCCUCCCUAGAAUAAAAAACUUGUUUAGCUUGUGAUGCUAAAAUGAAAGGAUCCCUUUCAAAUUGACUUUGUCCUUCGUGGAGGUUAACUAAGGUAAAUCCAUUAUCUAGUUUGAUACCAUUCACAAUGCAUGCCCAAUCACACUUGACUAAGGCAGUAUAAAAUUCAUGAUAUGACAAGACUAUGACUUUUCUCAAAACCCCAUAAUAAGCUACUUUCCCUGUGACUGGUGUAUUGUCUCUUGCACUAGAUAUACAAAUAGUUGUGGCUUCAAGUGAAACACCGUUGUCUUGUUGAGAUUUCUCCAAUUCUUUAGUGUGAAACCGAAGACCAUUGAUAACAAAACCAAAAUAUGAAACUGCAUAGCGACUAGGCUCACGCGCAAGCCACUUUAAAGUAUUUGACACAUUGUGGACCAUCUCCUCUGCCCUAAUCUGUCCAAAAUGUAAGCAUGCUUUUAGAGAUAAGUGUCAAUUACACAAAAUUAAAAAUCCACUAAGUAUGAUAAGAUCUCUUACAACCUUAGCAUCCAACCAUGUGCCAAAUGACUCCACGUGCUUUUUCUGUAAUAAAGUUUCAUUCUUUAAUAGAUGUCUAUUUGAAUGCCUAAGUUCAUCCAAAUGCAUCCUAACAUAGUAAGUAAUUUGUUAGGAAUUUCUUGAAAUGUCACUUGCAUGUAAGUUGCAAAUUAGUAAAAAGGUUAUAAAAACUUACUCUAUAUAUGGCUGCACUUCUGCCAUAUUGAAUAGCACUUGGCGAUGAGCAACUUGUAACAUCUCAUUUGUAAGAAUUAUUCUUUUUCCUUGAGAUAUGGACGCCCUUCCAGCAGUAAACCAUUUUCAAACUCUUCAUUGUGCGCAUUUCUAGAGCCUAUAUCAGCAGCUUGCUUUAUAUACUUGCUACAUAGCAAAGCACACUCUUCAGCGAGGUAGCGUUCAGCCAUACACCCUUCCGGUAGUGCACGAUUCAUAACAUAUCCUUUCAACACUUUCAUAUACCUAAAACACCAAUGAGUUAGAAUUGAAACAAAUUUCAUUUCAAGUUUAAAAUGUAUAAGAUUUUUAAUAAAUUGAAAACUACCCCUCAAAUGGAUACAUCCAACGAUAUUGAACCGGUCCGCAUAGACGAGCUUCUUGUCCUAGGUGGAUUGUCAAAUGCACCAUUACGUCGAAGAAAGAAGGAGGAAAGAACCUUUCUAACAUGCACAAUGUAUGUACAAUAUGUUCCUCCAAUUUUUCUAGUUUGUUUCUAUCUACAACUCUUUGGCAUAACUCAUUAAAGAAUGCACACAACCGGAAAAUUGCAGUCCUUGGACCUUUAGGUAAAAGGCCCCUCAAUGCCACUGAUAGCAAUUGUUGCAUUAGCAUGUGAUAAUCAUGGGACUUCAGGCCAAAUAUCUUACUAUCUUCCAAGGAGAUACAAUUUUCAAUAUUUGAACCAUAACCAUCGGGUAAUUUUAAAUUGGCAAGCCUCCAACAAAAAGUUUCCUUCUCUUUCUUUGAUAGAGUGUGAGGUGCUGCAGAUAGAUAGAAACGCUUUCCUCUUUUCUUUAGGUGCAAAUAUUUUCUAAUCCCCAUAUUUUCCAAGUCUUUACGAGAUUGGAUGCCAUCCUUAGCUUUUCCCUUCAUAAGUAAAAGUGUUCCAAUAAUACUCUCACAAAUAUUCUUCUCUACGUGCAUGACAUCCAAAUUAUGACGUAGAAGUAGAUUCUGUAAAUCAAUAAGAAAUAUGGUGUUAUAGUAGUCAUUGCAAUUGCUAACCUAUGCCAAAAAUAUGAAAUUAAAAAGAAACAUUAGACGCUAACUACUAUAUUAUAAUUUAUAACAUACCUUCCAAUAUGGCAGCUCAAAAAAUAUUGAUCUUUUCUUCCAUACAUGGUCAGAAAAAUUGGUAUCUUUCAUUUGAUUCCUCUUCCUCUUCGUAUUUUUUUCAUUCUUUUCCUUGGUUUCCUUUUUUCCCUUUUUGUCUUUUCUUUGUUUGUUCUUUCUUCCAUUCUUGUUCUUUUUCCCCCAGUCAGUCAUAAUGCCAUCAACUUCAAGAGAAAUUUCUUCACCUGUAGAAAUCUUUGGUCUACUCCUAUCUUCAUGAUGUCCAUUAAACCAACUCAUUUUCUUGCGAUAUGGAUGAUUCGGAGCAAGAAAUCUUCUAUGACCCAUGUAUGAGAAUUUAUGACUAUGUGUCAACCAAUCAGCACAUGUGUCUUUUCGACAAAUUGGACAUGCAAAUCUUCCUUUGGUAGACCAUCCGGAUAGGUUUCCAUAAGCUGGAAAGUCAUUUAUUGUCCACAUCAACACAGCUUUUAGGUUGAAUGUCUCUUUACUAAAUGCAUCAUACACCUUCACCCCAUUAUUCCAUAGAUCUUUUAAAUCAUCUAUAAGUGGUGCCAAAUAAAUGUCAAUGUCAUUACCUGGCUGUUUUGGACCUGGGAUUAGUAAAGUCAACAUCAAACUCUCCUUAGACAUGCAUAACCAAGGAGGCAAAUUAUAUGUAACCAAAACAACUGGCCAGCAACUAUAUCUAGAGCUAAGAUCUUGAAAAGGGUUAAAACCAUCCGUAGAAAGGCCAAAUCUAAUAUUCCGAGGGUCUAAUUCAAAAGAAGACCACUUCUUGUUUAUCCUAUCCCAUGCCAAAGAAUCAACAGGAUGUCUCAUCUUACCAUCUUGACUUUUAUGUGUUGAGUGCCACCUUAAUUUUUCAGCUGUCUCAGUUAUUGCAUACAUCCUCCUCAAUCGCGGUAUUAUUGGAAAGUAACGCAAUACUUUUGCAGGGACUCCCUUUUCAAUUUUAGAAUUGCGUUGAUUUACUUUCCAUCUCGAAGAACCACAUUUAGGACAUUCCUCUACCAUCUCAAGAUCAUGUCUAAAUAGACAACAAUCAUUCACGCAUGCAUGUAUCUUCUCAUAUCCAAGAUCAAAUGUCUUAAAUAUCUUUUUGGUUGAAUAUAAUGAACCAGGAAGUGUGUUAUUUUUUGGUAGCAUAUCACCAAAAAUUUGAAGCAUUUCAUCAAAAGCACUAUCUGUUAGACUAUUUGUUGCUUUAUACUUCAAUAAAGCUACAAUUGCUGACAUCUUUGUAUACUUAGUACAACCAAGAAACAAAGGAGUUUCAACUUCUCUAACAAAAUUUUCAAUUUCUGCCUCUUUACUUUCACAAGGGUACCCCUCAACUUCAUCAUCUUGGAAAUAAAAGUCAUGGUACAACCUAUUUGCCUCGGGCAUUUCCACAUCUUCAUAUUGAACAUCAUCACUUAGACUUUCACCAUGAAAAACCCAAGUGGUAUAGCCAGGAUCCAUGCCUUUUAUGACCAAGUGUUCAUAUACUAAAUUAAAGUGGUGAUGUUGUAGGUUUCUGCAUUCCAAACAAAGGCAUACUAUAAUAUCUAAGUUUCCCGCAUGUCUUUGUGCUACAUUGAUAAAUUGACGUGCUCCCUUUCUGUAUUCAUCUGAAAAUCUAUAAUAAAUUUUUAUUUAAUAGAAACAAUAAAUUUAAUAGUACUCAAAACCUAAUACUCUCUCAAUUUAUAUAUGCGCAACCUGUUAAAUUGCAGCCAUUCUUUAUCCAUAUGAGAAACAAAUUACACCAAUCCUCUUCUCACCCAAUAUCUAAAAGAAAGUGAUUUGGUUAAGUGAAAGACAAAAUAAAAAGUUUCAAAAGUUGGUAUUUUUUUCUGGGUAAAUUAAAAUGAGUACAAAUAGAUAUAUCCAAAUUUUCAGAACAAAACCAAAAGCUCGAAAACAAUCAAGUAGACCAGUCACACCACUACAAACAAGAAAUAGAAGCAAUAGAGAAAUGAUUCAGGCACUUCUCAUAUAUCUGUAACUAUAUUCUAUAUAUGAAGUAAAAAAAGCUAAAAUCAAAUUAAGAGAGAAAAAUAGUAGUGAGGAAUUGAAAUAGAGACCUUUGCAAGAGUAGUAGUAUUGGAGUUUAUAGUUGGUGCCCACUUCUUAGUCCAUUCAAUUUCAAACAAUCUCUUAGUGGCCCUGUACAAUGUAGACAUACAAAAAAAUAAAAAAAAUUGAGUAUACAUUUAACAUAUUAGAGGAUAACAUUCUUGAAAGAAAUUGGAAAGAAUAAAGUAAGAACAAAAGCAUAUUAUGGACUACUCCUUUAAUUUUUUUUUCCCUUUUAAUUUUUUUUUUUCUAAGAUUAGGAGAGGGAGAGAAAAAAAAAAAAGUCUGUAACAAGAAUGAAAAACAGGGGAAGGAAUCAUGUUUUGAAAUGAUUACCCAACUCCUAACAUUAAAAUGGUUAGCUGUAAAAUUAAUAUAUUCAAAUCAAACUUACCAAAAUCUUUAAUAGAAAAUCUAAAUUAAACAAAAUUAAACUUACCCAAAAUUUCUUUGAUAAGAAACCAAACAAAGACAUAAUGGAGAACAAGAGGCAGGGAAGUAGGUACGCACGUAGCCUUGUCUGGCCAUUCAAUUAGAGUCAGGCUAAUUUCUUUAAGCUUUAGAGUGAAAAGUGUGCUGUAGAGAAAGACAUGGCCAUUCAAUUAGAGGCAAGCUUUGGAUUUCUUUAAGCUUUAGAGAGAUAACUAGUGCGCUAUAGACAAUAGAGGAAGGGGUUCGUUAAAAAAAAAAAAAAAAGAGAAUAGAAGAGGAAGGGGAAGGUGAAUGGAUGAGAGAGACUUGUUGGAACUUGUGAACACUUUUUAGGCCAAACCCAUAUAAAAGAACAUGUUUUAGGUUUUGAGAAAGGGGGACUUUUUCGGGCAAAAAUUUUCGCUCCCUUUUCGACCAAUUUUUUUUAUUUAAUAAAUUAAUAUAAUUUUGACAACAUGCGUCGUGCGUUGUAGAACUUAAAACUACUACAACACGCAAGGCUGCGUUAUGAAAUAGCUCUACUCUAUAUUUUGACAACACGCUAUACAUGCACAUUGUUAUAAAUUGUAUAAUGCAACGUGCUGCUUCUACGGAUUGUUAAAAAUAUUGUUCCAUAAUACAUAUGAAUGCACGUUGUUGAUUACAUGUUGUCAUAAGGUAUUUUUCUUGUAGUGUAAACUAUUCUAGAAAUCAUCAUCUUCUGGGGGUUGGGGAUGAUAGACUUCAUCCUCAAAGUAUAGCGAACGGGAAGAACUCUUUUCGAUAAUAUCAGCUUGUUUCUGUUGGACCCAUCGCCUUUUAGCCGGAGUUUGGAUGGUGGCGGUUUCCUUAAACACAACCUUCAAAUCUUUGUUCUCAAUCAUACAAUCUUUGUAAGACCUCAUAAUUUCUUUGAGCUCUUCAUCAUCUUGAGAUGACUCUUUCACAACAGCCUUUCUUUUUAGCUCCUUAGCUUUUUUGUGUCUCACAGGCCUUCCCCUUGGGUUUGAGGUUUGUGGGGGCGCUUGAGUUUCUAGCAUGGAUUCAUACUAUGAAUCAUCAUCUACAUAAAUAGAUUCACUCAUUGGAGAAGCGUUCACAGAGGGGGAGGAUUGGAACCCUUCAAAGGGUUGCCACUUAUAUGCAUGUUGAACAACAUUCUAACAGUGGUCAAGGAGGAAUGCUUUCUUGGUCCUCUCGAAAAAAAAGUCGUUUUGCAUAAAUAACUACACAUAUUAUAUGCAAGAAUUUAAAUUAGUUGACAAAAUAUUAAGUUGGCAAAACAAAAUUAAAAAUUAAAAAAACCUACAUUGUCAUUUUCAUUUUGGCCACUCUUGUUCAACCUUGCCACUUGAGUAAGACACUUGGAGAAUUUGUUGCACAUUUGGGAGAUGUUCGUCCAACAUGAUUUCAAGCUCUUUGAUGAUCUAACUUCUUGGGCAUCGAGAUGAAAUUGUAUGAAUUGAUCUCUUAUUCGAUUCCACAUCGCGCCACUUGAUUGACAAUUCCCGAUAAUUGGAUCUUCACUAAUGAUUAUCCAAGCUCGGCAUAGACCAACAUCUUCAUCGAUGGAGUAAUUUCUACCUUCUUGCUUUGAACUUUCAGCCAUUGGUGGAUUUGAGAUUAACAAAAAAAUUACAAAAAAUUAAAUAAUCUAGUGUGUGAAAAAAUUUGACAAAUUGAGCAAGAGUGAUAAAGAUGUUGUGGUGUGUAAAAAUUAGGAGAGAUAUGGUGGAUAUUUAUAGGGAGAAUUGAGUUGCAAAUCUAUUUAUUUUUAUUUUUAAAAAGAAGACACAAUAUGACCGUUUAUAGCUGUUGGACAUAAUUUUGCCUGUUUAUGUCCUUUGUAAUAUAGCUGUUGACACAGCUUUGAAAAUUUGGUUAAUGGAUGUGGGUCAACAUGCUAUUGACAAACCAAAUAAAUGUCAAGUAGGCCUUGUACAAUCGCAGGUAAGUGAGAAAGACCAAAAAAGUGGGUUGCAGCUUUUUUAAUUCGUGGGUCCCACUCGAUUUCAAGGGCUACAACCAAGCUCAUACAUUUAGCUACUACUCCGGUUGGGCUUCAAGUUUUAGAGCCCUAAUUUGCACCAUUGGGGAUGCCUUUUUAAGAAGAGUUUGUAUUUAUGAGAGCCUUGUGGUAGUUGAGCCCCAAAUAGAGCCCCCAUUGGGGAUGGCCUAAGGGUCCUGCAAUUUCAUAUCCCUCUUGGCAAUUGCAUAUGAGUUAAAAUGUUAUUUUCCUAUUGAGUUUGUUUGAUAUAAUUUGACAAUUUGCAUAUGAGUUGACAUGUUAUUAUUUUCGAUUGAGUUUAUUUGAUAUGAUACAAUGUUUUUCUUGUUUAAUACAGGUCAUCAUUAAUUGGAAUUAUAAAAUGGUAGGAAAGAACAGUGAUGUGCAUAAUAAGGGCAAAGAGCCAAAAACAACAAGAGACCAGUCAAAGACGAUGAUUGGUUGCAAGACCAGUUAUUUUAACUAUUUGUAAGUGUUAAACAACUUUAUAUUAAGUACUUUUUAUAGGACUAACUAAAUGUGAAUGUUUUAAAUAGGAAAAUAAAGGGCGAUGAAAUGAAGCAACAAAAAAUAGUGGAGAAGAUGGAUACUAAUGUGAAAAUUGGCAAGAAUACAUUUAAAUAGAGACGUUAACUCACAACUUAUAAUGAAUUGAUUGAAUUUUAUUUUUUUUUCUUCCUCAGACUAAGAAGGAAAUCGAUUAUAUGUGGCAACAGUUGGAUUUUACUCGGAAAGCAAAGUAUGAACCUAAAAAACCUUCAACGAACGCCUCGAACAAGAGUUGUUUGAAGAUAGUCACAUGAUGCAGUCGAAAGGAUCUAAAUGACACUAUAAAUGUUUUAAGUGAUGAGAAAAAAGCAGUUAUUCAAGAAAUGAGAUUUGUUUCAUUGUUGGAAAUGAAGUGCGGAGAACAAUCUUAUUCAAUGUGUCAUUUUUUGAUUGAUAAACUCAAUCCUUCUGAAUCAUCAAUCAUGCUACAUGGAAAAACACUUAAGAUAUUUGUGGAUGAUCUCGUGCACAUAAUGGGUGUUAAGGAUGGAGGAGAGGAAGUUGAUUUCACCAGAUCCAUGGAGAGCAACACAUUGUAAAGAUGCGAAAUUCUUUUUUGGUUGGGAAGAAUCUUUUAAAGAAUAAUGAGUUGAAGCAGAUGAUGGUGGGGACAGAAUAAGCAUGUGACUUUUUCAAAGUUGGUUUUGCCAUGUUUACUCUAUGCACGUUGCUAUGUCCAUAGUAUGAAAUAUCGAUAAUAUCGAGGAAAUAUCGAGGAUAUUUCGGUUUUUUCGAAUCACGGAUAUUUCGAAACAUAUCCAUGUACAUAUCGUAUAAAUAUCGACAAUAUCGACGAUAAUAUCGGAAAAUAUCGAUGUCGAUAAUUUCGCUCACAUUUCAGCAAUAUUUUGUCAAAAUAUCGGUGUAAUAUCGCUAAAAUAUCGAAAAUAUCGAAAAUAUCGAUGUGAAGGAAAAAAAAAGUUUUUUUUUUAAAAAAAAAAAGGGAAAAAGGGGAGAAAAAAGCACAAAGGGGAUAUGAACCCCUCCCAUUUUACUCCUCCAACACCUUAAACACCAUAUCACUUAUGUUUUUGUGAUAAUAUGCUAAAAUAUUUAUAUUUAUAUGGGUGGUAUGUUAACAAUUACAUGCAAAACUAUUUUGGGGAUUUAUCAUUUGAUGACUACUCUUCAAAAUACACUUACUCUACACAUAGAGAUGAUGAAGAUAGUGAAAAUUUUGAACCUCGUAGGAACUCUAUGUGGUACUAAGUCACUCAUGUAUCUUAUCAUGCAAUGUAUAAAGUGUAAAAUAUUAUAGUAAAUCAUUAUAUAUAAAUGAUUACGGUGUAUUUAAUCUUUUUUCAUUAAUUAUUACAAAUUUUUUACACUCAUAGUGUUUGCCCGCUUGCUGUAUAAUCAACUUAAAUUAGUUAAAUCCAUCAUGCAAUGCAUUUCCUUCUAAUUUUUUGUGAUAAACUCAUUGAUAAUUGACUAAAUGAACAUUCUCCAAAGUUUCAAUAAAAAUUUCCAAGUUUUUCUUACAAUUUCCGUGGUUUUUAUUCAAUUUUUAUCGAUAUCGAUAAUAUCCCGAUAUUUCCAUCGAAAUUUCCAUAUUUUUGGACUACCGAUAUUUCCGAUAUCAUCGAUAUUUUAGACCUUGGCUAUGUCCAACCACAUCCAUGUAUGUGAAUCUAAUAUAUCUGCUUCCGUUAAGAGAUAACAAGGAAAAACUGCGCAAGUUAUUCAUUCAAAUUUUUAUUGGAUAGUGUCAGGUCAUUUAAGGGUAACAAUCAAGUUUACAUUGGUGUUUGCUUAUUAUUCCCUAAGUUCGAUUUUCUUUAUGUUAAUUCAAUGCGGUUUAAUGAUUUAAGUAUUCAUUAUGUAUGUCCUAAUCUAAGAUAGUAGAUAGAUGAAUAUAGUGUUGAAAUUAAAAUAAUAAUAUGAUUAAAUUAUUAAAAAACAAGAUGUUUAGUGUUUAUGCAUAUGUGGGUUAGGCAAUGUGCUCACACUCUUGCACACAAGUUCAAGUCCCCAUCUCUAGAGAAUAGAGUAGUUUAGAAUAGGGGUGGGCACGGUUCGGUUUGGACCGGUUUUUGCCUCAAAUUAGAACCGAUCCGAUACUAUUCAUCCGGUUUGGUUCGGUUCGGUUUUAAUAAAAAAAAUUUCAAAAACUGUCCGGUUCGGUUCGAAUCGGUUUCGGUUCCGGUUCGGUUUUGAACCGGAUUAUAAAAAUUAUUUUUUAAUACAAUUCUCAACUGAAAUUUUAUUUUUUUACUUAAAAAUUAACAAAUUAUUCAAUUUCAUAUAAAAAAAUAAAUAUUAAAGUGAGAAAAGAGAGAUAUUUUGACAUUGAACUUGGAUAAAUAUUAGGUUUUUUUUAGUGAAAUUAAAAAUAUAGCAUUAAAUAUAAAUAUAUAUUGAAAUUAUAUAUUUUUUUAGUUUCACUGGUUCGGUUCGGCCCGGUUCGAUUUUUGAAGACAUGGAAUCGGAUCCGGAACCGUUCCAAACCGGUCCGGUUCGGUUUUUGACCGGUUUUUGACUUUUUGGUCAACUCGAUUUUUUCCCGGUUUGGUUCAGUGCGGUUCGAUUCAGAUUUCCGGUUCGCCGGUUUGAGUGCCCACCCCUAGUUUAGAAUAUUGUUUAUUUUAAAAAAAGUUUAUUAUAUAUAUAUAUAUAUAAGUAAUAGUUAUGAGUUUACAUUGAUUGACUUAUGAAAUUGGAGUUUAAAAUUAUUAUUAUUAUAUUGCAUGUAUUAUGUUAUACAUCUUAUGUGUAAACUAACAAAAUUAAACAUUUUAAAUGUGACGGGUUGACACAAAAUGAGUUGAGUAAGCUAACAAACAGUUUGCCUCACACCUAUCCAUUUAUUAAUCUUGGCUUGGUGGACUGACUCGAAUUUGACCCGAUUUUUUUAUUGUGCGGGUUGAUCUGAGUAAAUUUUGUGCAUGUUAUAAAUUAUUUAUUGGGUCAUGUUUGAGCAUUUCCAACUAGAUGCCCUAGCCCGGGCAAGAGGCCCCUAGGCCUUCAUUCGUGUUUCCAGCGUCCCAUUCUUGCCAGGACAAGAGAUGGACUCCACCAACCAGGCCAAGGCCCAAGGCAAAAUUAGCCCACCCUCCUGCCUGAGGGCUAUGACGUCACCAAUGACGACGUCAGCACAAGAAAUCAAAAUUUUUUUACCGUUGGCAUGUGACGUACACGUGGGGACCGUGCACAUCACGCACACCAACGGUAAAAAAAAAUAUUUUGAAUUUUUAUUGCUGAGGUUAGUGCAUACUUUCCCCAAAUAGAUAAAAUUCACGUGGUGCUGCCUGGGGUGUCCAAUCCAUUCUUCCACUGCUAUCCAACGACAUAAAAAUUGAAAAAAGUACCAAAAAUUUUGAAUUUUUUUAAUAUAUAAAUACCUACCAAUAUUAUUUACUUUUCACACAAAUUCUUCAUACGAAUUCUUCUCAUUCAAAUAUUAUUCAUUUUCCACACCAAAUUUUCUACUACUAAAUUUCAUUUGUGUAAAAAUACAAAUGGCCUCUUCAAUUGAAGCUGGAGGCUCGUGGACAACCAUGGUAGAUGUUUUGUUAUGUGAGUGUUGUGUCCAAGUUGGUCAUUGCCUGAUCACUGACAAUGUGAUGAAGUUCUCUCAUAUGUGGAGAAAAAUUCAUGGAGAACUUUGUGAAAGAUCGGGUUUGCCUCGUACGAAAAUGGCCUUGGCUAGUAGGUGAAUUUAUUUGAAUAAAGAGUUAGGCAAAUAGAGAGAUGCGUUGGUAAAAGCGAGUAACAACGUUCGAAGCUGCGAAAAUCUUGGCAACGAGGUAAAAUUUUUGUAAUUGUUGUUUUAUUAAAUUUAAUGUCAUAUUUUUUGAUAUUUUCUUGGAUUUUCAAUUUGUUUUUUUUUAUUAUUAUAGAUUAUUCAAGCACAAAUGUGGCAUAUAUGUGAAGCACACAUCUCCAAUAAUAUAGUAUCACGUGUCUUUAAAAUAUAAUAUAUAUUUUUAAAUAAUUUAAAAUUAAAAAAAAACCAAAAUUUUAUGAAUUUUAAAUGAAAAAAUAAAAAAAAUUCGCAGGAACCAUUUGUGAUAGAUGUGUGAAUCUCAGGGAUGUUUUGUGAUAUAUAUUAUAUGCCACGUUAGCAAAUUAACAUAGUUUUUUAUGAAACCUAGCGGCAUGGACUAUUUGUGAGUACACAUACUAACCUUAAGAACUAUAAAUAACAUAAAAAAAAUUAAAGGUGCAUUCUUAUAGUUUCGUAAACCUUAGUAAAGUUUUGUGAUAUUAAUCCUUUUCACUUUUAUGGGAGGGCAUUCCAAGUUCGAACCCUGACUAUCAACCUCCGUCACCAGCCCAAGGGCUUCUUAGUAUAGUUCUUUGGAAAAGGUUGGAGGUGUUAUUUUUGAAAAGGGAAGGAGCUCCGCGCUGUCUGUUUCGAAAACGAAAAGCGCUUUUAGUUGCAGGCAGGAGAGGUUUAGGGUUAGGGUUUUGGUGAAAACAGAAAGAAAGAAGUAGUUCGCAAUGCAGCCCUACGGUAUACAGUCGAUGCUGAAGGAGGGGCACAAGCACCUCUCCGGCUUGGACGAAGCGGUAGUGAAGAACAUCGAUGCCUGCAAGCAACUCUCUACCAUCACUCGAACUUCUCUGGGUCCCAAUGGUAUUGCUUUCUUACUCUAAAACUCAGAGUCUCAGUUGAUCAGAUUUGAAAUCAGUUAAUUUCUUAAAACUUGUUUGUAUUCAUUACUGCUCAGGUAUGAAUAAGAUGGUAAUCAAUCAUUUGGACAAGCUCUUUGUGACAAAUGAUGCUGCCACCAUUGUCAAUGAGCUUGAGGUUCAGCAUCCUGCUGCCAAGCUGUUGGUUUUGGCAGGCAGGGCUCAACAAGAAGAAAUCGGUGACGGUGCUAAUCUGACCAUUUCUUUUGCUGGGGAGCUCCUGCAAAACGCAGAGGAGCUUAUAAGGAUGGGCCUGCACCCAAGUGAGAUCAUUAGUGGAUACAAUAAAGCUAUCACAAAGGUUAUUCAAAUGAUUUGCUGACUGUUUACCCAUUUGGGUUUAUUGGAAAUCUUCCGUUCUGAUUUUAUUUUUAUUUUUGGGAUAUUUCAGACUAUUGAAAUCUUAGAUGAACUGGUUGAGGAAGGUUCUGAGAAAAUGGAUGUUCGCAACAAAGAAGAAGUGGUUUGUAGAAUGAAAGCUGCUGUUGCCAGCAAGCAAUUCGGACAAGAAGAUAUCUUAUCCUCACUUGUCGCAGAUGUAAUUAUAACUUGCAUACUCUUAUUUGUUAUUGCUUAUUUUCUAUGUCAGCUACCCAGCUAUUUAGAAGCAAAGAAAAGGAAAAGAAAAGAAGAAUAGCAUGUCACUUUUGUAAGCAAAUUCUAAUAGUAACUCUUUGAUUGGACAAUAUAGGCAUGCAUACAAGUAUGUCCCAAGAACCCAGCAAACUUUAAUGUGGAUAAUGUACGUGUUGCAAAGAUUGUGGGAGGGGGUUUGCAUAAUUGUACAGUAGUUCGAGGCAUGGUGUUGAAAACUGAUGCCGUGGGGAGUAUAAAGCGAAUGGAGAAGGCCAAGGUUAGCAGUCUUUUAUUGAUAUGUAUUAUAACUUUUUCAUAACAUAUGUAUGUUAUAGCAUUAAAUGAUGUGCUCUGUUUGUUCAUGGUCUUUGGCAGAUUUAGUCUUUCUCUAAUUACUUUUUGGUCAACUUUCUCUAAUUACUUUGAGUCUUUUAGCACCAUUUUGUGAGUGGUUCAGUAUUCUUUACCUUUGGCUUUUGUUAUAAAGACACAAUUUACUGGUUCCUGUGGGUAUUAUUUUGAAUCUAAUAUCAAAUUUCUUGUAAAUGAUGGAUGGGAGUGUACUUUAUUGAAACUUGCAGCAUGAAAUAUAGGGUGUGAGGAAGAAGAUAUGCAAUGAUUAUAACAGGAAAAUGAGCAUGAUUAUCAUGCCUUUUUGUUACCUUUAAAUGUCAUCAAGGUGGUUUGUGAUUGCCAGUGCCAGCUGCCUAUGUUGAAUUGCUGUUUGCUUGUGUUAGAUAGUAUGAUGUAAGAAAAAUCUAUGGAAACGGUAGGUUUGUUGACUUGUUAUGAUGUAAAACUGAUGAUAAUUAAUCAAAGCAAAUACCAGUUAGGAUUGGAUAGGUGUUGGUCUGCUGUGUACCAUACAAUGCCCUCUUCCCAAGUUGUCACAUUUCGAUUUCCAUAAAUAAAUAAAAAAAGGUUGUCAUACUUCAAUCCUUUGGAAUCAGAACAAAUAAUGGCAUGAAUAUUGGAUGGUUAUGUACCACAUAACAGUGAUUCUUUUAGUUUCUUAUAACUGUGAUGAUUAUGACUUCCGAUUUCAUGAUCUUACCUUGAAAACACUAAUUUUAGGCAGUCUUCAAUAAUAUGCUAUACUCAAAAUGUGCAGCAGCCUUCUUGUCAUUACAUGCAGCGCUUCAUAUAUUAAAGUUCAGAGGAAUGCACCAUACCUUUGACUAUUUAGAUUUUUGCUUUUCUAUAUGCAUGUGACUUGAGCAUUACAAAGGCUAACAUUGUUUAUUUUUUGGGUCCUUUCUUUGGUUGAUACCGAUUUCCACAAAUUUGAAGUAUCUAUUCUUUGUUUCUCGUAGCGGGAAAAUUGUGUCAAAUAAGGCAAAACGGUAAAAUGUACCAUUGAAAACUCAACAUAUAAGAGAUUGGUGGACGUUCACUUAUAAUCACAAGCGUUUCAAUAAUUUUUCAAGCUUAGUACAGAUUUAUGGUUUCUUAUUAUGUGGUGAUUUGGUACAAAUUUUUUUGUAUAUACUUAAAGUUGCCCUAAGGGGAAUUAUGGUGAUAUAACCAAGAGUAAUUUUUUGGUUUCAUUUGUAUUUGUUAUUUAACUUAUAUAUAGCAGAUAAAUUUUGCGAUUUGUGCUUCAUGAAUUGUACGUAUAUCUGUUAAAAGUGUUCUUAAAAUGUUUAAUUUCUCUAUUUUUUGAAUUAUUAAACUAGAUUGGGUUUUGUGAGCCAAAAUUGUUAAUAAUAUUUCGAAUUGCUGAUAUGAAUAAUAUUGACUAACUUUAUAGUGUUCUCAUUCUGUUUAACUUGCAAUGUGCUUCUGUUUAACUUUGUACUUGGUCACAUCUGUUUUUAAUUGUGUGAUCCAGUUGCAAUAUUUUAUUAUAAGAACCCUUUAGCCGUGUUAUGUGGUCUAAAUGUAUUUUUGAAAGGUUCAGGUUUCUCAGCUUUAAUAUUCUGUUAUACCUUUUCAGGUUGCUGUGUUUGUUAGUGGCGUUGAUACCUCUGCAACGGAGACCAAAGGAACUGUCCUAAUUCAUUCUGCUGACCAGGUAAUUGUUGAAGAGGAAGGUUCUCUCUGUGUUGAAGUUAUUAUAGAGAGAAGCCUUCUAUGUUGUAUAUAUAGCAGGAGACUAAAGUGCUCGCCUCCCCCUCCCUCCCUCUGUGUGUGUAUGUAUGUGUUUGUGGUUAUAUGCAACUGAUUCCAUAAGUUCAAAUAUUUUUUGGUUACACCAUAAGGUCAGAUUUAGUGGCAGUUUCUUGAAAGCUUAUUCUGUGUGCAACUAGUUAAAUUUUGCCACAUAUGCAUAAGUUUCAAACGGUUUAAUUUAUUUCUAAUCUAUUGGUUCUUGUUAUUGCUUUUUAAUUUCCCCUUUGUCUUCUGUAAAAGGGCUGUACAUGAAACAUUAAUGUCUUCUAAUGUGAUUUACCAUUUUCUGUGAUAGUAUGGCCAUUUUGGAUGGUUCUUUCGAUAUUAGAUAUGUAUGUCUUGUGGACUCAAAUUUUGAUUUAAAACUCUGUAAUUUUAACUUUUAUUACUAUAUUACUGGAAUGUGUUGGUGUUUUACUAUUCUUGUCUUUAGGUCUGUAGCACUUGAGCUAGUUGUGAAUUGAUUGCUGGCUAGUAUUACUUCUGUGUUGAUACUGUGUUUCGCGUUUGUUGGAUAACUUGUAGUUUUGGAGCAAGGAUCCUUUUUUAGUUCUAAAAGCAAGCGCAGAAAAACAUUUACUUUCUGCUCACAAUGAUUUCUUCAAGAGGGAAUCCACUCUUCUUAUUAUGGAUUCCUAACCGAAGCUUUUAGCUUAACCAUGAUAUCAGUGUACUUACAAAUGAGGGUGACUAAUUUUUUAUGAAAUCAAUUAAAAUCUCCUGGUUUGUGAUUGAAAUUGUAGUAAACUCUAGACCCAUUGGAGAUGAGGAUUUUUAACAACUGGUAACCUAGUAAAAUGUUCUACAUUCUGUGUUUAGUACUGAUUCUUCAACAUUUCAUUGAUAAUUUGGUACUAGAUACAUGCGUCCAAGGUGCAUGUACCUAUAAAUAUAUCAUAUAUACCCUUUACCUUAUAGGUUUUUUUAAUAGUUCUUUUCCCUGUUACAAGUACAACAUGGUUUAUUAGUACUCUAGGGUAAGGUGUUGGGUUUUAGGGCUUAGGAUUUAUAAUUUAGCUUUGGGUUUUGGGCCUUGAAGCAAGCAUUUUACUUUUUGCCGCAUUGUUUGAACUGUGUGAUCAUGUUUAAGAAUCAGACUCGUGUACCUAUAUAAUGAUAUAUCUGUAUGUCUACAUGUGUGAGUUUGGUUUUUCCUGUUAAACCAGUGUUACGUGGACAUUGGUUCUUUCUCAUAAACAAAAGGUUGACGUGGGUCCUAAAACUCUGAUAAGCAGUGUAACCUAAUGUAUGAUCGAGCCUGCUUAGAAUGUAGGGAAUGUUCAGCUUUAUAUCUUAGAUCUGCAGAUUACAACUUGGGAACUCUUCUGUUCAUGCAGGCAAUUGUAAAAUCAUUCUCCCCUACAACUUCCUUUGCAACGUUUUUUAAAUUAUUAUCCUCAUUAUUUAUUUUUCAUUUCAGGAAAUUGAUUCUUGGUAAAUGUGUUUGAAUUGAAUGGUGCUUGAAUUCUCUGGUUUUUGUAUAACUAUUCUAACCGGUUUUGUUUUAAAAUGUUUUGACCUUUUUUCUGGGUAUCUGAUGUCUGUUACUAUUAGUCUCGGUAUAUUAAAGUUGAUCUUCCUUUCUUGUUUGGCUUGGAUGUUGGAAAUUAUCUUUGCCUACCUGUUUAAUUUAUUUGCAUCGUUAGGUUUAAUGUGGUUGAUCUGUUAUUAGCUAAUAAGUGGUUUCUUGGUCAUCCCGUAGCUAGAAAAUUAUGCAAAAACUGAAGAAGCUAAAGUUGAGGAACUCAUCAAAGCAGUUGCAGAUUCAGGUGCCAAAGUAAUUGUCAGUGGAGCAGCAGUAGGAGAGAUGGCACUGCAUUUUUGUGAGCGUUACAAGUAAGUGUCAGUGGGUUUUUUGUUGCUAAACUUUUUUCGUCCCGUGUGCGUUCAUGCUGUGUGUAUGCAGUAAUGUUGUAAUUGUAGCAUAAACUGGGACUUAUGAGUUUAGGUAGACACUUUCACUAUGUACUACCCAUUUAAGGGUAUUUGGAUCUCUUUUAGAGAUCCUUGAACUCCUUUAGUGUUUUAACUUUUUUGUUCUUGAUUCUAGGCUCAUGGUGCUGAAAAUCAGUUCAAAAUUUGAAUUGAGACGAUUUUGCCGCACAACUGGUGCCGUGGCCAUGGUAAUUUUACAAGAAUUUGAUAUUUUAUGUGUAACUUAUCUUGUGCUUCUUAAUACACUUUGUAUUUGUGUAACAGUUGAAGCUUGGCCAGCCUAACCCAGAUGAUCUGGGGUAUGUUGACUCUGUCUCGGUGGAGGAAAUUGCUGGUGUUAGGGUAUGCAAAGAAAUGUUUCCUCAGACUGUAUUUUGUCUAUAAAUUUGCUUAUUCAUGCCUCAUUUGUUUUUCUUAUUUCUUGUUAACGUGUCCAAUAUGUAGGUCACUGUUGUGAAGAAUGAAGAAGGUGGCAACUCUGUAUCCACUGUGCUUCUACGAGGAAGUACUGACAGUAUAUUAGAUGACCUUGAAAGAGCAGUUGAUGAUGGAGUGAACACUUACAAGGUAAAUUAUAAGGCACAUUUAUAAUUUUGUAUGUCUUUCUAGGCUGGGUUUGUUUUACCUCUGAAAUUGUUAGCAUAUGGUUCUUUAGAACUUUUAAAAUAAUUCUUCGAUCAGGUGUCAUCGAUAUCUUACUAUCUUAAUGCAUUUCAUUUUCAGGCAAUGUGCAAGGAUAGCCGUAUUGUUCCUGGAGCUGCGGCAACUGAAAUUGAGUUAGCUAGGAGACUGAAGGAAUUCUCUUUUAAAGAAACAGGGUAAAUUGCCUCUGCUUUUGAAUUUAUUCAUUUUUAAGUGAUUUACACAAUGUGUAUGCAAUAUGCCUAACUUUCACCACUAUUAUAUAUUUUUGCUUGAUUCUAUGAAAAUUUUAAGGUACAGUCACAGAAAUUAUCAACAAUAACAAAGAUAUAUCCUCAAAGGAGGUGGAAAUUGCUAUGCAAGAUUCUUUGGAGUGUAAGGAAUGCAUAUCAUAUAAGGAAUUUUAUUGAAAUUGUGGUAUGGGGUAAAUUGAAGUAUACAAGAUGUAUAAAAACUUAAAAUGGUAUCCAAAUAAAUUUCCUAGAAAAUGCCUUAAAGAAGCAUCAUGGGUAUUACAACCCAACUAGAGAGGGACACCCGUUUUACAGUUUUAAAUCAAACUUAGGUAACACAUAAUGGAGCAAUUUCCUAGCACUAAAAAGAACAAAAGAAAGAAACGGAUAUAUCAUGGAUGUUCUUGUCCAAAAAAGGUGCGGUUGAGAUAGGUAAUUGUGAAGUACUUUGAUUUGAAUCAUUUAGAGUUCUUUGAUAUUGAUCUGAAUUGUUGGUUUUCAUAAUAUGCAUGUAAUGUUGUACCUGAAAGCAUAAAGUAGAAUCUGGAGGCCUACACCAACUAUCGGAACUUAAAUUUUUAAUUUUUUUUUUUUGUGUCCAGUCAUAGGUCACAAUUGGGCAUUAGUGAAAUAACAAACUAAAGAAAGAAUGGUUUUGCAGAUUGGAUCAGUAUGCUAUAGCAAAAUUUGGCGAAAGCUUUGAGAUGGUGCCUAAAACUCUCGCUGAGAAUGCUGGGCGUAAUGCAAUGGAGAUCAUAUCGUCCCUCUAUGCUGAGCAUGCGUCAGGAAAUACCAAAGUUGGCAUCGACUUGGAAGACGGUGUUUGCAGAGACGUGUCAGCUCUAAAUGUUUGGGACCUCCACAUAACUAAGUAAGCUUUUCUUUGUCUUGUAAUGAUUUAUUUAUUUUUUGUGUGGAAGUUUUCAUUACAUUGUAUGUUGUUACAACUGUGAUGCUUGAUUUGAUUUUGGUGUAAUGAGAUUAAGUUCUGUACAUUAAAUUUGGGUCAAGAAAUUUUUAUUUAUUUAUUUGGUAGAGGACUCUUUUAAUUCCCAUGCCCUUUCCAGAGGUUUUGCUAGCCAAUGAUUUCCUGCUGCUUCUAUUAGUGGUUCAUUUGUUUGGUGCUUGUAUCCUUCUGUUGAUGUUAUAUGUCAAAGUGCAAUUUAAUUUAGCUUUGUGAGGGGGUAUUGUGGUGAAGUUGUAAUAUGGAUAAUAGGCAUAAUUAGGCAGUUGUCUACAUUUGUAAUAUUUAAUCUAGUCCAUGAUUUGUAGUUUUGUUUUUUGGCCUGAAGUCCAUGAUUUGUGGUAAUUCAUAUCUUUGCCAAAAUCCUUUACUCCAUGCAACCCAGUUAUUCAGUGUUUUUUCCCUCCAUUAUUCUGUUUGUGUAUAUAGAUGUAGCUAUAUAUCCAUUUUGAAAGCUUUAUUUAUGUUUUGGUUUCAAGAAAUGGUUGGUUUCUUGAGGAUAAUGCAGCGACGAUUCUAACCUUUUUAAAAUCCUCCAUCAAUUUAGUGGAUGUAUUCUCAUUCUGGAUUUUCGUAUGAGUUACAUCCAUAUGAAAGGGUUUGUAGUAUUUUUCAAUAAGUGAAGAUUCAGUUAAGGAGGAAUAACGACAUGUAAGCCAACCGUUGUUCAUAUCUCAAACUCAUACACAUCAGAUGUUUUAUUAAUUGUAAAUAGUUGUUUUUCAUUCAUCUAUUUGAAUUCAAUGUACUUUUUGAAAUUACUGUGAUUUAUAAGUAAACUUUGGGUUAAAAAGUUAUGUUUUAUAGGAUAGAGGCAUCAUAUUCUAUGUUGGGCUCUUUUUUUCUUUUUGGCCUGAUCUUUCUUGGGAUGUUUGCUACAGGUUUUUUGCUCUCAAAUAUGCUGCAGAUGCUGCCUGCACUGUUCUACGAGUAGAUCAAGUAAGUAACUAAUAACUAUUGAGUUUUCCAACUUUCGGAGUACCCAACUUUAAUUUCGAACUGAAUCAUAAAACUGAAAUACUAAGUGCAUCUGGUUUUAAACUCGUCUUUGAGCUUUUGUUUGGAUUAAAAUAAGAAACCUAUGAAACUCGUACCAAUACUUCAAACAAUGGAAGCAAAUAUGAUAUUUUUUUGAAGUUCCUUUGGGAAAUGCAGAAUUUGUUAAAUAUAGUGUCACUGCAGUAGGUAUAAUUCUUUAUUAAGAUUGAUGUAGGGUUGGGCGUACCUCUAUUUUACAAAGAAUUGAACAGCGAGGGAUUUUGAAAUUGUGAGACAAGGAUUUAUGACUUAAAUGUAUUGCUAAUAUAUCUUCUGCUAGAAAUACCCACUUUAGCAUAACUGAUUGGAUAUAAGUUGGGCCGCUUUUCAAUGAUUUCGCUCUUGACAAAACAAGACUUAAAAAAAAGACAUAAUAGCUGUUUUGUUUUUGUCAGAACAUGAAAGUUGGUUUGAUGAUUAGCAUAAAUUAAUUGNNNNNNNNNNNNNNNNNNNNNNNNNNNNNNNNNNNNNNNNNNNNNNNNNNNNNNNNNNNNNNNNNNNNNNNNNNNNNNNNNNNNNNNNNNNNNNNNNNNNAAGUUGACUAUCUUUGCUUGUAUUGCUCUAUGUUAGGGAUCUUUUGUUCCAUUUUAGUAACAAUUUUGUUUAGGAGAAAAAGAAACUUGUUAUUGCAGUUCAUGCUUUGUAAAUGCUACUUUUCUGUUACGAUGGACACAUGGUAUGCCCUUGUUGGGUAGGUUUGGAUUGAAACAAUGAUCAUGGUAUGCCCCUGUAGGGCUGGUUUGGAUUGAAACGAUGAUCGGGUGCUUGAGCCAUGUUUAGUGAGAAGCUUGAAUGUAUUUUCUUUUCUGUUGUAUUUGGCCCUUUUCUUUUCAAGUAUGCCAGAAAUCAUCCUGGUUUUGUAAUAUGUGGUUUGUGCUCAAUUAUGGUUAAGGUUAAUGCUUGGCAUGCUUUCACUAAUUACUUGCAUUUUU
Molecule: long non-coding RNA, 49703 nt
Filed under: Prunus persica (peach)
Lineage: Eukaryota; Viridiplantae; Streptophyta; Magnoliopsida; Rosales; Rosaceae
Description: long non-coding RNA (PPER_LNC003193)
Source: RNAcentral